RNAcentral lists this long non-coding RNA (60285 nucleotides) under Fragaria vesca (wild strawberry). Its description in RNAcentral is "long non-coding RNA (FVES_LNC002440)". The record is from RNAcentral. Lineage: Eukaryota; Viridiplantae; Streptophyta; Magnoliopsida; Rosales; Rosaceae.
UUAAAGUGUGGUGCUCUUUAUUUCGCUCGCUUUUAGGUCACAUUUUCAUAUCUCUACCAUUCAGUGUCUAGAACAUAGUGUGUAGAUCAUUCAUAUAAAAUUUCAUCCAUUUUGGAGAUCAUUUGAGCUUCUGUAAUUGUGAUAUAUAUAUAUAUAUAUAUAUAUAUAUAUACGAACGAAACGANAGAGAGCGCACGUNNNNNNNNNNNNNNNNNNNNNNNNNNNNNNNNNNNNNNNNNNNNNNNNNNUUCCUACAAAAUUUCAUUCAGAUUGAUGAUCGUUUAGGUACCGAAUUAGAUUACAUUAAUGAACAGACCAUAAAUAUGUCUAACCAAAACUGUUUGUGUAAAUCACGAUUACGAACACCCAAAUGAUCAUCAAAUUAGAUGAAAUUUUGCAAAAGUGAUGUAUGCAUUAGGUUUUACAAACUGAACGGUGAAGAUGUGAAAAUAUGACCGAAAAGUUAGUCAAAUAAGAAACUUCACGCAUUAAUUUCAGAGUGAAGCUUCGCUCUGGAUAAGAACUGAUAUAUAUAUAUAUAUAUGGGCCCUUCUAAUGGGGGAUCUCUUUUUUUGUUCAUUUCUAGGGAUAGAGUAUUUGACAAACUUUCCGAUCACUAAAUUACAUCUCCACCGUUCAGUUUGUAAGUGUACAUGAGUAGAUCACUUCUGUAAAUUUUCAGAAAAUUUGAUGAUCGUUAAGUCAUCCAAAUGUUUGAUUUAUUUUUGAUGAUGUUUGACAUAAGUGUUAAGUUUUUAUUUUAAUCUCAGUCAUCAAACCUCAUUAAAUAACAUAUCUAAUGGUGUGGGCUUAUCUCUAAAAGUGACAAAAAAUAAAGAUCCCCUCAUCGGAAGGGCCCUAUAUAUAUUCGUAUUUUUCAUUACAUCCUGUUUAAACACGUACGCAUCAAACUUUUUAAUUUGCUUUUGAAAAUGUGAGUCUUCUCCAAUUUUUAGAAAAUGAUUUCUAUUUGCUUUUGAAACUUUUCUGUUGAUGAUAAUUAUUAAAAAUGUUACAAUUUGAUUAGGUUAUAUUAUUGAAUUUUAAGAGUCUUUGGAGGAUUGCUUAAGGUUGUCUUAGUAAUUUAAACUAGUAAUUUCUUACGUAAUUCCAUGUGUUCUUGACUUUCUUAUACAGCUUGACAUUUUCUUGGUAGUGAAAAAAAAAAAAACUUUUCUUUGAUAAGGCAUAUAUGUUGUUGUCUUAUAAAUAUUAUAUUAUCGUUUUUUUCUUGUCUCUUGGAUGUUAUAUUGUUUCUUCUUGUGAGUCUAUGACAAAAGUUGUGUUUCGGUAUAUGAGUUGUUAUCAUGAUCUUAAUGCGUGAAAAUGUAACUGUUUGAGAAGUUUGAAGUUUCAUUAUCAUGUUCUUAAUUAGUGUUUGCUGCUGGUGCUUUUUUUUUACUAAGCAUAGAUAAUGAAUAAGUAAAUAAAGCACGAUGAAGAAGGUGAUCAAAACAGCGAUUUGUAUGAACGGUUCAGGUUGGCAAAUUUGAUCCAUCUAUUGAUUUAAGCGAAUUCGAAACCUUAAAGAUCAUCAAUUUAGAUGAAAUUUUACAUAAAAGAUCUACUCAUAUGUCUAUAUAGUGAAUGGUAUAGAGGGCCCCUUCACUAAAAGAUCUUUUAUUGUGGCUUAUAUGAGAGAUGAGUCAUUUGAUAAAUUUUUCGAUCACAAAAUCACAUCUCCAUCACUUCUACAAAGUUUCAGAAACUUUAGUGAUCGUUAAGGAAUUCUAUUGGCUAGGAAGCCUUAGAAUAUGCUUUUUACCGAGUCACUCAUGACUCGCCCAUGAUAAAAAUAAUGUCACAUAAAUAAAGAAAUAAAUAAAAGUACAAGAGGAAAUGAGAAAGGCUCACCAAAAGGAAGGGAACAAGGCUCCCACAUCGAAAUUAAGGGGAGAGUCCGGUUCUAGAGAGAGACAUCCUUAAACUCUUAAAAUGAGGAUUGUUUUUUUAAUUUUUUUUUAUUUAUUUUUAUAAAGGGGUUUGGAACCCAGCCUACCUAAGAGGCUCAGUCCCACGCCCGUUAUUAAUAUUAAUAGAAUUGUGUACCACCAAGGGGGAUGUAAUAUCUUUACCUCGGAGUGCACUAGAAGCAUUACAUGAAUCCUCAUAGAGGACAUCUUAUAAGAAAAUAGGAACUAAAUCAACAUUUAGCUCUACUACAUUAUUAUAACUAGCAAAAUGGGCUAACCUAUGAGCACCAUUAUUUACUUUGCGAUUGAUAUGUCUGACCACACUACUGUUCAAUAAAAUCAAAUAGGCACGACAAUUUUCAAUAAUCCGACUAAUCUCCAAGCAGUCACUGUUCUCACCAUUCAGAGCCGCCACCAGAACUUCAUAAUCACUCUCAACCUCAAUGUCGAGCCAACUUUGUUCUACUGCUCUCUUCAACCCUUCUCUGCAUGCCAACCUCAAAGUGAGGAUGUUUUUAGUUUUAGCUUGUAUUUUGAUAAUCAAAGCCACUCAUUCCCUAGUUACCUACCCACAUAUGAAUCCUACAAAAAAAUUAGCCAAAAUAGAAAAUGUUUAACCAUUUGAUUAGCAAAAUAUUUGUUUUAUUUUAUUUAAUGACCUACAAUUGUUUACGUCAUUUUGAAUGACCAAAUGAUUAUAGAAUUAGUUGAUAUUUUGUAGACAUGGUUCUUGCAUAUGAAUCUAGAGGAUCAAUGAUUAAAAUCUUUAAAUGAAGUCAUCUACUAGUGUAAAAUAGUAGAACUCCUCAAAUUCUUAAAGUAAGGAUGACCCUCUCUAAACACACACAAACACAGUCCGGAUCAAGAGAAGACAUAUGUGAAAGAGCUAAAAUGCGGACGAAGAUGAAAUGAAGUGAAGAUGAAUCCUCUAGAAAAAGAAGGCAUGUAGAUCAUUCUCUAUGUCCUCAAUAGUCAUAUAUUUUCAUCGAGAAAGAGAAGGCAUAUACGAAAUUCGAAUUCCUUCCAAUCCUCCACUCACCCACCAUUCUCACAAGGCCAUCCCUGUUGACACUCUUAAAAUGCAUGUAUCUCUAAUCCUCAACACUUUCAAGAUUAUCUGUGGGGGUAGUAAAUUAUUUUAGACCCAUAAUGAAGACCCUUAUUUUAGUCUUAACAUGACGGUAAAUGUCGACAAUGAAGUGACAUGGCAUAGUAAUAGUGUGCAAUAAUUAACCGCCUUAAAUGCAACUAUAAUUGUCAUUAAUCCUCCAUCAUAAGUGAGUGAGUAAAUAUAGAUAUAAAAGCAGGUAAUUAUGAUGACUUGACGCAUGAGUUAUGGGUUAUUUGUUAUGCAAGUUUACUUGCAUCUCAAGUAGCUAUUCACUUAUAAAUAGUAUGCUUCAUAACUGGGUAAGAAAUCUCAUUCCAUCCUGGUUCUCUCUACUGAGUUAAGAGUGUUUCUAACUUGAGCGUCGGAGGGUUUUUGGGUGAGCACCCACUCCAGUCCAUAAUUAUUGGUGCGUGAAAAUCCUCAAAGGAAUUUUUUGUCACCAAAAACAUCUAAUAACAACAUUCAAUUUAACAAAUAUCAGGAUCAAACCCAAAAUAUUAACUCUCCAAAUAUCAAAUAGAUAGAUCUCCACAACACCUCCUUAAAUUUUAGUUAGCCACACUCAAUUGGAGAGCGAAUAUAGAUUAAUCCAGCCAUGAAAGCCUAAGAUCAAAUCUGACACAGAGGCAAUCGAGGGAAAAAUUUAGGGGUAAGAAGCAGAGGAAAGUGGGUGAGAGAAGAGAGAGCACGUACAAAAUAGUCAAAAGCUCUUUAGUUCGAUAUAGAAGAGUGAGGAAGAGACGUGAGUGGAGGGACCUACAUGAAAAUGAAAGAACUUGUGAAUGAAUGACACGUGUCCGUCCACAUUUUAGCUCUUUUACGGACGCCCUUUCUUAAUCUGGCUUAUAAGAGGUACGGGACAGUACAUCAACUUUUUGAUCACAUUUUACCAAAGCUACCGUUCACUUUGUAGCUCUAUAUAAUUAGAUCAUUUAUGUAAAUUUUCAGCCAAUUUCGUGAUCGUUAAGGUACUUAAAACUGUGAUUUAAAAUUAUAAUUAAGCAUGAAUGGUUUAUAUUUCGCAGAAUUGGUACAUAUUAGUUGACAUUUUGCAUAAAUGAUAUACUCAUAUUUACUUAGAUGUUGAACGGUGGAGAUGUUGAUAGAUAAUAAAAGUUGGAUUAAUAAUCGAUCCCUUAUAUUGACCCAAAAAAAAAAAUCCCUUAAUAGAAUGACCUUGUAUGUAUGUGUGUGUAUACAAGACCCUUCCACUUAGGAAUUCAUUUUUUGACUUAUAUGAGGAAUUGAAUAUUAGACUAACUUUUUGAUCACAUUUUUCAACCUUAACGGUUCAGUCUUUGUACUAAUGUGUAGAUCAUUUCUGCAAAUUUUCGUUCAAGAGGCUAAUGUCUUUAAGGCCAGUGUCUAGUGUCAUUCUAAAUUACGAGAACACCCAUAAAAAUAUAUUAUAUGAGAAGAACCCGUUAUAGUUUGGGCCUAAAGUCGCAUAAUGAUAAUACCCGACCCGUCAUCGUUGGGGUUUCAGUUAAAACCCUAGUCGCUACGCGGUAUCAAAACUCCUUUUUGCCGCUCGUAGUAGAAGACCAGAAGCAAAGCAGAGAGCAGAAGCCGCCCAAAACCCUAACCACCAUGCCCAAGUCUAAGCGCGAUAGGCCUGGUAUUCCAUAUCGUCUUCUACAAACACAGAUAUUUGAAAUUGUAUAUGAUUGCUUAGAACUUAUUUUGGGUCUUAUGAACAUGAGUUUGAUAUGAAUGAUAAGCUCACCUCAACUUCUCCUUAGCUCAGCAACUGAAAUGAUUGGUCUUGUGAAUAUUUGUUAUUGUUUGUCUGAUUGGUUUGGUGGGUUUUGGGUGCAGUUACAUUAUCCAAGACAAAAAGGAAGGGAAGGGAACACAAGGAAGCUGUGGUGAAUACGAUCAAACAAGCUGCCGAAGAUUACAAUUCAGUAUAUGUCUUCUCUUUUGAGAACAUGCGCAAUCUAAAAUUCAAGGAGUUCAGAGACCAGCUCAAAUCAACCAGCAGGUAAGUUUUUAAUUUCGUGUCGCCUCUGAGAUGCUCAGUUUGGUACUGAAAUUGACUCUGCUGAGUUAGGUCAAUUGGGUUGAUCAUGUAGUAUGUAUUGGCUCUGAGUCACUAAUAUUCAUGUGUCUACACCAUUAUGUGUAAUGGUAUUUUGACUCUGAUGGCAUGUCAGUGUUUCUCCAUAAUCAAAUUGGAUGUUCUAUUUCCCUAAUUUUAAGUGCUCUGCUGUAAAGCAAUUUUGCCAACAGCAAUUUUUCCAAGUUACGUUGUCUAAAAUUUCUUAUUCAUGUAGUCUUCAAUAUGUGCAUGUGUCUCAUGAUUAGUUUUAUGUUUGCUCAGAUUUUUCCUUGGUUCCAACAAAGUCAUGCAAAUUGCACUUGGCCGAUCUGAAUCUGAUGAGAUCAAAAGCGGACUUCACAAAGUUUCUGAGGUGAGACUUUUUUGCACCUCAUGUAUUUAGUUUCCUCUCUUGAAAUUGGUUGCAUUUCUUUUCUUAAACAGUUUGUUGAUCUUCCUUAGGUUCUCCAUGGAAAUGCUGGACUUUGCUUUACCAAUUUGCCAAAGGAAGAGGUUGAGAGGUAGACAUUUAAGCUUUGAUAUCUGUGAACAGUUUUCUUAAGGAUUCUGGGAGGAAUGUAUUGUAGAUUCCAGUGACAUACAUGUUCACAAGCUUUGGGAAUAUUUGAUGUUAUCCAUCUUAAUGGUUACUUUUGCCUUUUGUCAAUUACUUUCCUGUAUAAGAAUAACUUACUAGCAGUUCAAGCAAUUUGUUAAUGAUUAUUAUAAAAAAAUGUGGAUUGAGGAGUUGUUUGUAAUUAGAGGAACUUGCCCCCUAGGUCCAAUUUAGAAACUACAAGCCAAGUCCAACUAGAUACAUGCUGGCAUGGUGAAGAAUUAGAGUACUUCUGUUAAUUUUCAACACAAGGAUUUUCUGAUCUGGUAGGGGAGACUCAAGCUGUAUCAAGAUUUAAGAAUUCCAUCCUUUGCUCAUGUUUAACUCUCAAAUCUUCAAGUCUAAAUGUGCCCAUGUAUUCUGAUUUAAAUUUCUUGAUGUUCAAUUUUUUUUCUUCUUUCAGGCUGUUUAAUGAAUAUGAAGAAUAUGAUUUCGCAAGGACAGGAAGCAUUGCAACAGAGAAGGUAUUUAUUUGUGUGUAAAUUAUGUAGAUCAGAGCGGGCGUAUAAGUUUGAUCUUGUGUCUGGCUUGGGACUACUCUACUUGAUAGCAUUCAAUUAUCUCCGCAUGAUCUCUUGAAAUGAGUCUCAAUUCAAAUCGUUCAGGUCGAGCUUCAGGAAGGUCCUUUGGAGAUGUUCAGUCAUGAGAUGGAGCCAUUUCUACGGAAACAAGGGAUGCCUGUUCGUUUGAACAGAGGUACCUAUUUGCAUUUAUUUGCUAGUCUUUUUAUGCAUGUAACAGAAGGCAAUGAUUACCCAUCUUUGUGUUUCUGCUUGUAGGUGUUGUGGAGCUUGUUGCUGACUACGUUGUUUGUGAGCAAGGAAAGCCUUUGUCACCUGAGUCCGCUCGUAUACUGGUUCGUUCCAUUCUCGAAUUGCUUGACUAUGAAGUUCCAUUGUUUGGUGUUGUGCUCCUUAUGCCGAAAGGAUUUUCUAUUCCUACUAGUUAAUGAUGUCCUUAGCGGUCUUACUUUGAAGUUCUACUUGCUCUUGUGUGUGUGGAUAUCUUUUUGUUAGUUUACCUGUACGACUUUGUUUGCUUAUCUUGCCCAUUAUUGUUGUUGAAUGGAUUGGCCCGAAAACGCUUUUGCAUGCACUGUAAUAUUUUUUGCAUUGGCUGAUCCAUUGACCAUGAUUUGCUCUGAUUGAUUGGCCUGUGUAAAAUUUCAGCGUGUGCCUCAUCCUACCGCUGCCUGUGUUAUUGAUAGGGUUUCAAGUACAUCAAACUUUUUCCCAUUAUUUUUUGCUUUAUAUUUGUUAUUGAUGGACUUUGUGCAUAACUGUUCUUGUUGCGGCUGUUGCUAUGAUUUUCUGCUAGUUUUUGAAUUUGUUGAAAUUUGAUAUUAGAGAAAGGGACCCUUAGAGAAACUAAUGUGCAGUAAUGGUAAUAUAUAUACAGCGUUCGUUGGGAUCGAAGACGGCUACCUUCCGACUCCAUUUAAUUUGCAGAUGGAGCCCUGGUGAAUUUGAACUCUAUGUUCCUGGACCAAGUGAUUCGGGUGUAGAAUCCUCAUAGAUGCUGAUCUGAAAUCAACAUGUAUUUUAGUGGAAGGCGAAUGGGACCAGGGUGGGGGGGGUGGGAAUGUUAUGUUUGCACUACUGCGAGAUAUGUAACGGUGUGCUACCUUUGGCCAUUUUUGACCCUGGGUUUAUCAUUUUUGUGUUCGGCCGUACUUUGUAGCGAAUUGCACUUGAAUUUUUGGUGAAUAUGAUUUGGCCUAUUGUAUUUACCUUGGAACUUGUAAAAGUUUAAUUUGCUAGUUAUUACAAGAAAUAUUGGUGUCGUGUGGUUUCAAAUUACUGGACUACUGUCCAUCCAUAUAGGAUCUGCUGGUGUAAUUCAGUCGACCCUUGCAGUGAGCGAGCAAAAAUAUGAAUGAGUUGAUCCGGUUGGAUGGUGAUCCAUUUUGGUUAUAAUUGAGUUGACAACUAAUCCCUACUGUUGUGAACUGUAUGUAUCCUGUUCGAUUUUGGUUCUUCAUAUGCGACAGGUAUACCUUAGCCAUUGCUUAUUUUGAAGAACCUUCUGUUUCAAUGGGUUCUUGCUUUAGAAAAAAUUAUGCAAAUCGGAUCAUGAUUGAUUAACGUUAUGGUGGCUCUUUGGCUCCUCAUUUGCUGCUUUGGACCCCUAUGUAUCUUUGAACUUCCAAAAAGAGACCCAAAAGAGACCCGCAUCUAGGAUUUCACCAAUACCACCCAGUUACCUAUACGAUUUCACCAAUACCUAUACACCCAGUUACAAACUGGACAUUAAGCAUUUUGAAAAAGCCUCCAAGUAGCCUUGGCUAACAUAGCUUGGUUCAUAUGAGCUGUUCCCAGACCACCAAUGAAACUUUUACUUCUCAUUCGAAUCACCCCGCAAAAAAAAUCUCUAUUAAGCUUACCAAUUCUAUCACAAAAUAUUAUAUCUCACUUCUGCAAUGAAAACACCCAAGCUGGAUAGAUCGAUUCCCUGCUGCUAUAAGGCCUGUGUCAACAUCAAACAAUCGGUCUCAAAGAGGGGACUUUGCUAUAUUGCCAGCAAAGCAAGAAGCUCGGAGUGAAAGGGUACGCCUUACUCGCACCUGCCUGGAAGAACGUCCCUCAACUCUUAUAAAUAUGCAUUAAAAAACAAUCAGGCCUGUUACCGCAAUUUCCCGACCUGUAACAAUUAAAGAAAAGUAUAUGCAUUACCAUAAAAGCUUGGAAACUGACGUUAGAAACAUAGGAAGAUGUGUGCACUUGAGAUAUAAACAUCACACGUACACCAAUAUAUGGAGGUUCAACUCGUACAAAACCAAGCUUUUUAAGUCUGAAAAGAUGAGCAAUAUCAGAUGGAACAUAGCCAUGAACAUCACAAUCAGUGGCGUAGCCAGAAAUCUUACCUAAGAGGGUCAUAAUCUGUACAACAACAAUUUUUUCUUUAGAAUCAAUCUUUAUCAAAAUAAAUUUCACAUAUUUUGGUUUAUGAUAAAUCUCUUUCAAACAAUUACAAUUAGAGUCUGACGAAUGAGUGCGGCUAUUGAGAUCUCUAAAUUUGUUCAGUAUGUCUCUCAUUCUCUCUACACCUCCCUUUUACUUUCAAUAUAAACAUUUUCUCACUCGAUCUCGUUUCAAAUUCCUAACAUAAUCUUAGUUAUUUAUUGACAUAUAUUUCAAUUAAUUACUUUAAUUAUUAUUCACUCAAUAGACCNNNNNNNNNNNNNNNNNNNNAUAUAUUUUCUAUAAUCAAUAUAUAUAUAUAUAUAUAUAUAUUAUUUUGACAAAAUAUUUAUGCACCUUGCAAGUAUAUGCGUUCAACAUAGAUGAUAAUACAAAAUUUUACGUCACAUGAUCGAUAUUUGAUCAUUGUUUUAUCUCUUAUAAACUAUGUAUAUAUAUAUAUAUAAAUAUUAUAUAUAUAUCAAAUAUUAUAUAUAUAUAUGCUUUGAUAAAAAGAAAUUAGAAAACGAAAAUAUAUAAGGAAAAUAAUAAAGAAUGUAAUCAAUUAUUAUUAAAUUGGAAAGUCUAAAGAGAAUAAAUAUAAUAUUUCCUUUUGUAUAACUAUUGUCCUUAAUAAUAAUUGUGUAUGAGGAUAUAUAUAUCAUUUAAUAAUUCACAAUAGAGAAUUAUUUGUAUUGAUUGAUGAAUCAAUGAUACAUUUCUUCAUAGAAUAAUUUUAAAUACACACCCUUAAUCUCUUAAUACACACAUUUUACUUAAUACACUACCCAUCUAGUUUUUCAUUUUAAUAUUAUACUAAAUACACAUCUUAAACUACCUAAAAUACCCUCAAUAUCUCUAAAACUAAUAAUAAUCUAUUAUUUAAUAUAAUUUUUAUAUAUUUACUAUUUCACAACUCUCUUUACGUAUUCUCUUUUAUUUUAUGUUAGUUUUUUUUUAUCAGGUUAGAAAUUUUUUCUUGAUAUUUUUCGAUUUAUAAUCAAAAGAGUAAUAUUAUAUUCGAACUCCAAAUCUCCAAUAUGACAUCAAUCGGCCAGAAUUUGAAGAAAAAAAAAUAUUGAACAUACAUAAUUUUUUUUAAGUUAAAAAACUAGCAGAAAUACAAUAGCAUAAAAACUAUUUUUUAGUCUGCAAGAUAAAAACUAAAGUUGAUAAAAAAAAAUCAAAUCAAUAUGUAAAUAGUACAUGUGAUUACGACAAUAGUCGAAAUUCAGGUGAUGAAUUUUAGAAAAGAUGUUUUUAUUUCUUUUCUUUUGUUGUGUAGUAAUAUAGUGGAGAAGAGUUGGGCUUUAGGGGAAGAGGAAGUUUUUUUUUUUUUCCUAAUAAUUGAUUGAUGUUUUUGUAAUUAAACAUACCUAUAAAAUCUGAUGUGAAAUAUAAAAUAAAAGAGGUGUGUAUUUAAAAUUUCUUUUCUUCAUAAAUCAACUAAAUAUCAUCGAAGCAGUAGAAAUUGGGUUGCUUGGUCCUCUAUGAAUCUACAUUUAGAACCUUAAUCGAAUGAAUUAAGCUCUAAAAAAUUAUGAGCAUUGCCAAGAAUUUAAGGUGUUUUGUUUAAUUGAAUUGGGUGAUCAUAUGAGCAAUACAAAAUUCUACUUUCAGCUUAUGUUUUUAGUCUUUGACUUUCCGUCCAUAUGAGAGUGAGAAAACGAGAAAAAUGAGAGGAAACUCAUCUACGGAAAAAGAAAAAAAGAUGAGAGGGAAACGCAGACAAUGUGAGAAAAUGAGGAAGAUGAAAGAUGAGAGGAAAAUCGUCUUCGACCAAAAAAGAAAGAUAAGAGGAAAACAUAGAGAGAAUAUAUUAGUAAAUGAAAAAAGAAAACAAAUUAAAAUAUAUACAGUUCAAUGAUCGAUUAACUAAUUAAAUACAACAAAAAUUUAAAAAAAUGAGAUGGACUUGGGUAAAUGGUUCAAGCUACUCUAUACUUUUUUUUAUGUUUCCUAGCAGAAUGGUCAUUUUUUUCAUUAACAAUUUCUCCGAGUUUGAGAUAGUUGAACCAAUUAGGAUUGGUCUCAGAAACUCAGAGAGGUCAUUUGACUCCUCUCGCCCUAGUGUAGCUACGCCUCUAAGCACAAUUGUACUGAAAUAAAAAAGCACAAGAAAUUUAGCUAUCAAACAGUGACAUUGAAUUCUUGCCCAAGUCUCACUUAUGCAUCACAUAUGAAUUUCACAUAUUCAUGAAAUUCAAGCUGGAAUUCUGAGCUUUGCUGGGAAACUCUCUGGACCGCAAGCAAUCAGUUGAUCUCUGGAUCGCCAACAAGCCACCACUUCUCAUCUUUAGCAUAAGGGUACCUCGGAGCAUCAACAGGGCCCAUAUCUGUCCCCCCGUCAAGGUGGGCUCAAGAUGCACUGAUAGAGUAAUCUGCCUGUUUACCCCCCACUAUCUUACUAUUCAACACAUGCACUGCACUGCGGCUGUGGGUGUAUUUAGGAAACCUUUAGCAAAAUCGUACAACAUCCAACAUCCUUUCAUCUGACAACAUAAGCAGCUUGCAUCUCUCAGCUUCAUUCAGUUGUAACAAAUCAUCAACUGUUUCUAUCCUCUUUUCAGCAUUACGUCUGCAUCUUUUUGCCAACUCUUAUGUGAAGAGAGGAAUUUGCAGGAGUUGCGAGUCACCAUGCCACACUCCUUGAGUCAACAUCUGGUUAACUUUCAUAGCGAGAAGAGCAAGGUGUAGACCUCUAUUUCUGAAACAGACAACAAUGACAUCAACCAUUACCUCCUGUCAGGGACGGAACUAGGGGUAGCUAGGGUUUGCUGCAGCCUACCCCAAGUUUUAGACUUGCAAAACUCAGUGUGUAUAUAUACCAUAACCAACACCCUUCAAAAAGACAAAAACCUCUACCAACUCUUUUUUUUUUUGAAAACUCGCUACCAACUCUUAUGAAUUGAAGUUUUGCAUACUCACCACCAACCUAUAUCGAUUUCUUCUUUAUGUUAUUACCAAGGUUAAUGAACAACUCAUUAACCUUUGUGUAUGAUUUUAACCAAGAAAAGAUGCCCACAUCAAUAUAUGCUCAAUUGCUCAUAAACUUAUAUAUACAUUCUCACAUGCUGAGAAACACAACCUCACUUAUUUUGAUGUUUAUUUUACUGGUUCUGUUUUAGUGAUAGAUCAAAAUCAAAAUAUUAAUGCCAACAAAGUUCUCAUAAGUAAAUCCAGUAUAGGCCUUCAUUAUAUUCAUAAAAAUGUUGUCAUUAUGAGUAAUAUUCCAAGUUCAUAUGAGCAAUAGCUAGUUAAAAGUGUCAUGCACUUGAUCGAUAUACCAUCAUACUAGAAUACACAAUAUUCUGCCAAGCUUUUGAAGAAUUUUUAUUUGGCAACAUAAGGUAAACCUAGCCCACCCGAAUUAUAAUCUAGCACACCCGGUAAAUCUCGAAUCUUGAUAAGAUCACACACGUCUAUUUCUGGAUUCAAGGAAGAACAAAAAACCUCUAUGGUACUAUAAUUGAUGCAGUUGUUUGAAGCUAUCUCACCAAGAUUCAAAGACAAAAGUGGUGUGGCAUCCUGAAUAAAUUUUCUAUCUAUCAAGUCCCUCAAUGUAUCUUCCCCAACCUUGAGACGUGACGAAAACUAUCCCCUUCAACACAACCAAUAGAAUGAUAGUUUGGAUUAGAUACGGCCCUAUGAUGAAAAUAAGUGGUUGCAAGGAAAUCUAAAGCCCCCUUCUUGUCAGUAAUGGUUCCAGCAACAACUUCUGCAUUUAGAAUAUCAUGUAGGUUAAGAGGUAAAUGGCUUUCAACAGACAAUGGCUCUCCCUUCUUAAGAACAUCCCCAUAGUAUGGUUGACUAGCCGUAUGGCAAAAGAUGAUACAUUUUGCAGAACCAUCCUCUUCAGGACAACGAGCACGACCCACCUGCCAAAAAGUCACCUUCAAGUAUAAGAGGCACAAGUAAUAGUAUAGGUAUUAAAAAAGGUUAUCGAAUCCACGAGGAUUAGAUUCCUUUCACUAGCUAGGGUGUUAACCUUAAAAAAGCUGGAAUGUAUAAAUGUACAAUCACAAACAUAAAUAUAUAAGGAAAUCUAGGCUCAUGGUAAGUAUGUGCAAUAUAGAGUAGUGAUUUGAUUUUGGGUUUUUGAAGUAGUUAACUAAACUAAACUAAAUGCUCAAAUGUAAAUUAAAUUACUCUAAACUAAACUAGUGGUCUAAUGAAUGGUGUUAGGAUUUGAAUUGUCUACACUAACCUCUCUUGCAAGUAUUGAUGCAAAUCACUAUGAAUGAUGCUAAGCUCAUCAACCAAUUUCUCUCCUUGCAUCCCUCUCGGGUAUGACAAGGGACAUGCUCCUUUUGUGGUAUCAAGCAACCCCUCUCGGGUGUAGUACUUAACUACUUAAGUCAUACAUUUCAAUCCGGUUAGACAUCUAAUGUAUUACCCUAAGUGCAUAAAGUUUGAAGAUGAAGAAACUAUGCAAACCAACCGAGCUUAUCUCUAAGUGAUUGUAAUUCACAACCCCUACAUGCACACCUAGUGUGUUUUCAUGCUUUAACAUUCAAAGGUUACCAAGCUCUAAACAUUAUCAUGUCAUGGCAAACACACAUACUCAAAGCGGUAAAUUCUAAACAUAUGCAUUCAACUCUUAAACUAGCAUGUAGGAAUGUUAACUAAAAUUGCAUCACAUCAUAAAAUAGCAUCAAUCCAUACAAGAUUGGUUAGGGCUUUCAACCCUAACCCCAACAAAGUACUACUCACUCAUAAUUACAUAAACAAACUCCAUAAUCAAAUCAAACAUCAAAAUAGAUCUAGAGUUUAAGGGAGAGAGCUGGCUUGGUGGUAUGUCGAUUUGUCCCCAAGUUCACGUCUUGGUGGUGGUGGUGAUGGUGGUGAUUCCCUCUCCUUCUUGCUCUUGAAGACUUGAUGAUGAAAGGUAGUGAAGCUAGAUCUAUGCUUUGUGUGAAUAGGUGGAGUGGAUGGAGAAAGUGAUAUAGGAAAGAGAGUGGAGAAAUGGUGUAGUAGUGGUGGUGUUAAUGGAGGAUUGAGAUUAGAAAUAGUGGUGGUGAUGGAGGAGAUGGAGUAGAUUGGGGGAGGAAGAGGAAGAUGAUCGGUUUGAAUUUUAGGAGAAGAAGAUGGAGGUUUGUGGUGGAAAAAGAGAGAGAAAGGGUGUGUAGUGGUGAAUGGGUGGAUGGUGAAUAUAUAAAGAGAAACGAUGAUGGAAAGUGGGAGAGAAAAAGAGAGAAAUGGAGCACUCCUCUUUGUUCCAUCCGGAUGGAGCAAGGGAAAGGAAAAGAGAGAGUAACAAAAGUCAAUAAAGGGAGAUGGAGUGUUAGAGAAGAGAAAGAAGUACAUAAUGAUGAGUUAUGAGAGAGUAGAGUAGGAAAAGAUGACUAAAGAUAGAGUGAAAGGGCAAUUAGCUUUUUCAAAUGCAUUGGGAACAAGAAGAGAAAAUGUGUAGAGAUAGUUUUGAGUCACCCAAAUCAAGUGGACAAACAUAGGAAAGCAUGUGUGCAUGGUGAUGCCUAUCAUCCAAAAUAUUAUAACAUGGAUUUCAUGUGUUACUCAGUCACCAUUCUUCUCCUUGCUCUUCCUAUAUGAUGACCGGAAAGCUUAAGGUGGUGCACCGCCAUUUGUGCCACCAAUAGUGGUGGUUCGCCGGAAUCCGGAAAUUUACGUUUCGUUCCACAUUGAACCGCAAUUCUUCUUAGCUUCGAUUCUUCAUAUUAAUACCAACAAUCAAUGUUUCCUUCACUCUUGCAUUUUACCUAGAUAAAUAGAUAAAUGAUUUAGUGAAAGCUAAAAUGAACUCAAAAACAAGUUAAAGUCAAAGUUUAAGGCAAUAUAAACAUAUGUAAAUUAUGGUCUAACACCACCAUCUGCCACAUAUCAUAAGCAGAGUAAUCAACAUUGGGCAUUUUAUGUUCAUCAUGAUAUUGUGUUCCCAUCAUAAGCACUAAAUGUGCUGAUAGCGAUACUCCCCAACACAUUGAGUUGCUCGUGACACAAAUUUGAAUCUUCUCAGCUUCAAAAAGCUGUACUACAAUUUUUUGAUCAUCACAUGUCAAGCCCUAAUGCAAGAAGCAGACACCAUUGGGCAAAGUGCGUUUUAAGAUUUUAUUACAAUAAAAUUUUCUAAUAUAAGGCAACAAUGGAGAUGACUGCAUCCUAUUGCUGCCAGCACUUAGAAAAGUAAUUAAAUUAUGUGUUGAUGCCGAUUUUUAGCACCAACGGAUCAACGGGGGUUCCAUUGACAUUGAACGUGUAAAAUGGUAGAGUUGUUCUCUUGUAGUGGGUCUAUCUUCCUCCUCGGUUAGUUUGUCCACAAACGUAGUCCUGGUUAUCCACUUCUGAUUAAUGAAAGUAUGCCUCGGUAGUUCUUGGUGGUCCACCGCAUGUGAUUAGAGGAAUGACAUUGAUGGUCUUGUGCAUGCAACUUCCUAGAAUGAGAUUGGAUUCUUGAUCAUGGAUGUCAGCUCUCCUCUUCUUAAAUUAAGGUGUCUUAGAGCAUGGUUGGGGUUGUUUAGCGGAGGUGAUCAUAUAGCCUUUGACAUCCUUCACUCGAUGGUGAGCUUCCUCCACUUAAUGGUGAGCUUAUGCCACUCCUUUGUUGGGUGGAACUAAUAGUAUAGCCCCGAGUGUUGAUGAUGGGUUUCCUUCGGUCAAUGUUGAGCCUUCACACUCCUUUGUUGGGUAGAACUGAUAGUCUCCUUUUAGACUUCAUCCACUUGGCGUUAAGCUUACUCAAUUGGAUUGUGGACUUCCUACAUGUGAUGGUGGUGCCAUUGCUCCUCUGUUGGAUGAUGCUGAUACUCUCCUCUUGUACUUCCUCUACUUGACGUUGAGCUUCCUACACUUGACGACGAGAGCAGCUUUCGCCAUGAAGAUGAUCUACAAAAGUGAAGAGAAGGAAGGUCAUCGGAGGACCAGCUUAAGGCGGGCAAACACUCUUCGACGCCCAAAUCAAUAGAGUUCUUGAACAAUGAUUGAAGAUAUGAAAAGUGUAUGAUGCUUUAGCAUUGGGCCGAUGCAUCCCUAGCAUGUGAGCAAAGAAAGAGAUGGAGAGAGAUUAUGCACUUUGGCAUAAUCUUUGGGGGAGAAGUGAGAUAGCUUCUCAUAUGCAUUUUGGCAUGGUUUUUGGGAGAGAAGAGAAGAAGAAAUGGAGUUGUAGAGAUAAAGGGAGAUUAUGCACUUUGGCAUAAUCUUUAGGGGAGAAGGAAUGAUAGCCUAUCCUAAGCAUUUUGGCAUGGUUCUUGGGAGAGAAGAGAAGAAGAAAAUGGAGAUGUGUAGAGAUAGAGGGAGAUUAUGCACUUUGGCAUAAUCUUUGGGGGAGAAGGAAUGAUAGCCUCUCCUAGGCAUUUUGACAUGGUUUUUGGGAGAGAAGAGAAGAAAAAAAUGGAGAUAUGUUGUCAGGACCCACCCCGAAUUUCACCCUGAAAUUCGAAGUAAACCCUGCGAGGUCCACCUCAAGAGAGAUUUUACCAAAAAUUUCGGCAUAACCUCCCUUGAAAAUGGACAACCCUACCUGAUCAACACUAACCUGCAACACACUUCUAAAAUCAUAUGCCAACCAUGUACUCUUGGAGCCUACCUGCUCCCCAAAUUCCUCACAUCUCCCAAAAUAUAUCAAGCCUUAAUAAACUAAUAACAAUCUCAAAUGAUUAUCAGAGCAUAUCUAUAACGAACGAAUAACAAUGAAUAAAGAAUAAGCGAAACAGCCUCUGACUAUGCCUCGACGUCAUGUACACUCGACCUCAAAUAAACUUAACCUGUAAACUGGGCAUUAAAAAUCAAAGGGCCCAGGGGAAAGUAAUUUAAAAACGUUAGAGUGAGUGGACAAAAAUAAAUUAAAUAAUUUAAUAAAAACAUAAUUAAAAUACUUUCUCACAUUUAAACUUUAAAACCUCGAUGCACGCAACUUUGAUAUAACAUUUAACUUUAACUCCAAAAUCACAUAAAAAUAGACAAACCAGCCCCACUGGUUAAUCAAAUAUAUAAAUCUUGUCAGAAGAGAUAAACCAGCCCCGCUGGUUAAUCAAAUACAUAAUGGAGAAAAAUUAUCACCAUGUAAAAGGGGAAGAGUUAUCCCAUGCUAUAAUAAUGUAUCACGCUAAGCGCUCAACUCACCUAUGGUGAUGACCGCUAAUAAAGACUAGCUAGCAAUAAAUAAUAACCGAUUGCUGCCUUCUAGGCUAUAGUAGCGUCCCACGCUAAGCACUCGACUCACCUAUGAUGAGGACCGCUAAUAAAAGCUAGAUAGUAAUGAAAUAUGAGCGACCCUAUAGUAUGGUGACUAAAAACAUACGAAAUCAGUUACAUCCAUAAAACUUCACCAAUGUCAUAUAAAUGGUACGGUUCCCAACCGUACUUGGAAGUUAUCAUAAAAAAUUAUAAUAAAACUUAAUGACGUGUCUCAUACGUCGAAAUAUUCUCAAAUCCAUAAUUAUAAGCGAUAUUUACUCCUUAAGUAAAAAUUGUAAUUAAUAACUCAAUCUGAAAUAUUCGCUAUACAUUCUCAAGGUCAAGAUAGAUAUUCCAUAAAUAAAUGAUAAAAUUAUAAAUAACGAACUACCAAAAACCCCCAUUUUUGAAAAUCUUUUAAAAAUCUCAAAGUCCACACUCAAAUUCCAAAUUAAUAAUCCGAGCUCAAAUCCAUAAAUCAUGACCAACAACUCAUCAAUGCAUCAAACUCAAACAAUUUCCAAGAUCAUUUCAUAAGCCGAAAUUAUAAUAUACGCUCUAUUAUAAAUUAUAAAAUCUUGCAUGCAUAAGCCCGACGAUAUCCGAAUCGCCACUCAAGCAAGAUCUCCUCGUAUCCUGGCACAAUUACCAUGCUUAGGACCAAUCUUCAAUUUUAGAAAAAUAAAUACUUAAAUAUAAACACCAAAACUCUUCCGCUUAACCCACUACCCUUAUUAAGGUUAAUCUUAUCGGAUUUAUGUCAAACUCCUCCCGCAACCUCAUUUUAUUUAUUUCAACAAUCUAAAGCAGAAAUAAGGGAAAUCCAACAGUAGGAUCUUCCUAAGAAGAACACCGAUAAAACCAAACUUUGAAUAAUCUCAAACAUAUUUAAAUCUUCACCAUAAUUCUCAAACUUCACACCAUUGGACUCCUCUCAUCAUAACCAAAUUAAAUAACACGAAAAAUUACCCAUAAGAGGCUGCUGCCGGCCACCCAAAAUCUAACCACCUCCAAUGACUACUAAAUUUUGACACAAUCUUUCUCUCAACAUUCUAAACAACUUUCAUAACUACCACAUUGAACAAUUUUAAGCAGAAACAAGUCAAUCGAAUCAAAACAUUAAAAAAAUCCCAAUUUCAAAACCUUAGAACUUCACACCUUCGAUUCUCCUUACCUACCUCGAGUUAGAUCGAAUCCUUUUAAGGGUUUGUUGUACGAGAGGAGAGCUUCCAAAUGAGACCAGCAGCUCCGGUUAUCGUGGCUGAAAAAGGAAGUUUCCGGCGAAACUCCACCAUGCACAACCGUGGCUUUCGGGACUGAUUUCUCCUUCAUGGCGGCGCAACACAGCCAGCCACCUACCUAGACUUGAAGAGGAUGUUUCAAGCUUCGAUUUGAUACCUAGCUCGCCCCCUAACUCGGCCGGACAACGGCGGACGGAGACGAUGAAGUUCCGACAGCAAUUUUGGAAAUUCAGGGCAAUUUCUGAAUUAUCCUAAAUGGGGGGGGGGGGGUCUGAUUUGCUAUUUAUAGAAGUUGAGUUUCCUGAAAAAUUACCAAUCUGCCCCUGACUUUAAACCCUUGUAACUUUUUCGUAUAAACUCCGAUUAAAACGUGCCACAUAUCCACGAACUCGGUUUAACCUCCUCUACUUUCUCAAAUUUCAAAUGAAGGAAAAAUUCAAAUUUUAAAGCCACUAAAAACUUGAAUACGAAUGUUAAAAGUAAAAAUAGGAUGCUCAUUUACGGUCCAAAUGACGGUAAAUGGUCAAAUAAGGUCCAGUCGUCACAUGUGUAGAUCUGAAAUGAAUAAGGAUGGCUUCCUUUUAUAGGGCUAGGGGUGGUUGUAGUUGUUGUGUGGAGUAUGGACUUUGUACUCAAAGCAUGCUCAUCAAUCUAUUCUUGACACGUCAGUACUGUUCUCAACAUGGGCUCUUCUAACACAAGAUGGGGCUGAUGGUUGGUGGAGGGUCAGGUCACGUGUCACAUAUCUAUGGCUCCAUUGUCCUUGAGUCAGUCUUAAGCCAUACCUAAAAGACAUGCUUGAUGUUGGAGCUUGAAACAUGGAAGAUUGGUGGAGUGUCAGGAUACAUGUCGCACAUCCAAGAUAACUUUGACUCUCGAAUCACCAUUCAUAUGUCAUGAGAACCAUACUUGAUGUUAGAGCAUGACACGUGCAAGAGUUGGUGAGUUUCUCCUUGGCACUCCAGCUAACUAUUGCAUGUCUAAGAGUGACCUGAGAGUCGAGGAUCAGCCUUGGAGGUUGUGGCUAUGACAACUAGGGGUCGAGUCUUCUAAACCUUGGAUGUCGAACUCUUGGCCUGAGAGUUAAGGCUCUUGAUCCAUUUGGACAUGGCUUUCCUAAUGGUUAGGUGAUGAUAUGCUCUAGUCUUGCCAUGCCUGAAAGUGAGGUAAUCACUUGGUGAUCAUCCAAGAUACUUAGUGGUUGUCCAAGACACUUGGUGAGAGUCCAAGGUUUGAGACUUGGAAUGCUAAAUUUGGCACGUUAAAAGUUUAAGUGUGUUGAAAGCAAUGGCGGAGCCAAGAAUUAAACUUAGGGGGGGUUCAUAUAUAGAGUACCGAUCAUUAUACAAAAAAAAAAAAAAUACCAAUCAUUUGGUCGUAUAAUUGAAUCAUUAUAUCAUAAGUUAAAUCCUGAAAACACAAUAAUAUAACACCAAUAUAAAAUUUUUAAUCAAUAAAAUCAAUUAAAAAUAAAAUUCACUGAGUUCAGAAUUUUCAGACCUUUUUCAUUUAGCUGUAAACCACUUAUAAAUAAUCAUCUGUAUGGAGAUACUCAACUAGGGAUUGCAAAUACCAGCAAAUAAAAGUAGAAUGUUGUAAUUCAUUAUGAGAGUAAUGACUUAAUGACAUAAAAUAUUCUUGUUAAAUUUUACUUUGACUUUCUAGUUUCUAAUAAAUAUUAUAGUAUACUGUUUUUUAAAUUUAUCAUUAUUUAUACUAUUUUUUUUAUUAUAAAGAAGAUGAUAAUCAUAUGGAUAGCUAGGGAUUCAUUAUCUUAAUGUUCUUUGUAACGUGGGGUAUUCUUUGUUUUCGAAAGGAUANNNNNNNNNNNNNNNNNNNNGGGGGGGGGGGUUUACUAUACAAACACACCUAUACAUACCAUUAGUUAAUUAAAGAUUACCUACCAUCAUCGUAUCUGCAGAAUAGCUGACAGGGGUCCAGACCCCGUUAGGCCGGACUGUAGUUCCGCCCCUGGCUGAAAGGUCAGAGUCCUAUGUGGCUCUUUGACAUUUCAAUGCGUCCUACGUGGAAUGAGUUGAAAAAGUCAAGUUUUGUUGUCGAUCCAAAUUAUGACAUCAACAUUAUGCACUGCUGGUUAGACAUGUAAAUCGAUAGGAACAUAUACCAGAUAUGGCCUCCCAUUCCUAGCAUGAUGGAAAGUUAUAGUACCCGCUAACCUUGCCAAGUUAGCACCUGUUACCUUAACAUCAGGCAAAUCCACCUCCAUUAGAAUAACACGGAUUGAGGUCAGACUCGAAGAAAAAUUGAACUGGGCAUUUGCCUCAACACCUAUCCAUCUGCUCAUGUCGUUUGCUUCGUCAACAGGACUGGAUAAAGCAACAAUGCAUAUCCUUUUUAUUGGAAAAGUGUGGCUUAGAUAUGAGUCAUUUGGAAUCCCACAACGGAAACAUGAAAGAGUCAGCAUUGCGUUAUAAGGAAUGAUACCACACACACUAAAGUUGAUGCCUUUUGUGUAAAACUUCAUACUCUUUUCUCCACUAGGUGGCUAAAGUAGGAGAGUAUUGACAUUAUUGAACCCGUGUGUGUGGGACUUAUGGGGCCCGUUAAUUACAUGUAUUUUUACACAAGUAAUUAGUACUCAAACAAGUGAAUUAAGCCAGACCUCAUGCCAAUUAAUAUGUAAUUAAUCCAUUUUUAUUUAUCUUGUAGGAAAUAAAAAGAGUAGCGGAAACGAGCGAAAACGACACAAAAUGAGACCAAUUUGUGUCUUUCAACAUAGAGACAAAGUUAUGGAGAUCUUAAUUAAUCAAGGCUUAAUUGCAAAUUAAGAAUUUGGUUAAUUAAGCAAAAGGUAGAAGAAGGCAAAGGCAAGCUCACGUGCUUCACCACCAGCACCAUUUCCUUUUUUUAUUCUCCAAUCAUGUGGUGACACGUGGCACAACACACCUCCCUCAUUUCUCUUCCACACGAGAGAGUAGUAAUAAAUUUAACCUAUAUACUAUUUUCUGAGAUGACGUCAGCACUGUUCAUGAAGUACUAUUCCCGUGAGCAGUGCUGGGCUUAGGCAUGUUCGAGCUUCUAGCGUCUUCUCCCAAAAUCUCUCUAGACGCUUCUCGCCUCCUCUGCUGCCUGUCUCUCUAUACUCUUCUCCCAUUCUCUGCCGCUCAAGAGAGGGUUUGCUCUUCUCACUUUCUCUCUCGCCCAAGAUCUCUCUCUGUAUCUCUCUCACCUGUUCCUUUGGUCUUAGCUCGGAGGUGUGUGCUCUCCUGAAACGUCCAUAAAGAUCUACAUAGAAAACUCCAGCUAUUAUUAUCCUGACCAAUCUCAACCAGUUCGGGCUGGGUAUAAACCCUGGGUUUCUGACUUUUCUCUCGCCUUCCAGAUCGUUCUUGAGACUUGCCCUUUUCUCUCCCCAAAAAUCUGAUCUUCGCUCUUGCAUCCAUCCGACUCUAAUCCUCCACCUUGCUGAAAUCUCGCCUUCUUCAAAACCGCUUGAAUCUUAUAAGUCUCCUCAUCAUCUCAAAAAUCUGGUGGGUUGUGAAUUUUUUUUUCCUAGGUUUUUAUCAUUUUUUUUGUUUGAAUGAUUUCUUUUCAUGUCUUCAGGUUCUGUGAUUGAUUGCCUUUCUUAGAAAAGAGAGUUCUAUCACGGCCAAGAAAUGUACUGCUUCUUGAGUAAUUGGUUUUCAAUUUAUUCUUCUUCUGAAUUGAGGAAAGAGUGCCUUCUUCCGAAGGAAGAACAUCUUCUUCUUAAAUUGAAUCCUUCUGCUACAAAAUUAUGUUGUUAAGGAAAUUGAGAUAUAGCUUUUACUUUCUUUUUUUUCCAUCAAGUAUUGAUUUCAGUGAAGGACUAUCAGUUGGUUCCAUUGUCUUGAUGUGCACAUAGACAUGCAGAUAGAGCGUGGCAGCACUUUAUAAUAGCAUUAUUCCACUCAUUCCAGUUAGGUAACAACAUACUAGACCUGUUGAGCAUUUUUAAAAUUAAGCACCAAGUGCAUUUUCUCUUGACAAAAUCUACAGUUAGGAGAGUGUGCUUACAAUCUUGCUUGCACAAUAAUUCCUUGCCAUCAUAAUGUCAGAAUGAUAUCAAUUGAUUGAAUUAGUUUUGGUGAAGUUGUAAAGUUGAUUUCGUAAUUUAGUUGUUGUUUUGUUUGGUUUUAAAAAAAAAUUAUAUGAUAUAUAAGUUAACUGUCAACUUUAAUCAUUGUUCCUUUCUUUGUUGACUGUUGAUUGGUACUAUCCUCAUUCAUUGUUCUCAAUCAAGUACAAAUAAAAUUGUUAUUAGGACCGUAAACUUGAAAGAUCAAGGAAAAAAAAUUAAAUUUGUGCCCCCCAGAUCGUUUUCAGAUAUUAAAAACUUGAGUACUAGCACCAGGGCAACAGUUUUCCAAAUUAUUGGUUUACACCCUAAACUUUAACUUGCCACAUUACCAAUUCUACUUUGUAUUUUAUUGUUCGGGGAGGAAACAAGCACAUAAUACAGAUAAACCCAAUAAGUUCAUCUUGCAUUCCCCAUGAGUUUAUGCAAAGUUCAAAAGGCUAAACCAUGCCCUUCAAACGUGUCUUUGCUUCAAUAAUCUUCCUUUUUACUCAAAUUAUUGGUUUUUUUUUACAGUCUUCCUUUACUCUAUUAAAACCCAAAGGACUUUCCAUCAACUGACGCAUUAAUCUCCCAUCUCUUUUGCUCUUAUUGUAAAUAGAAAAGGAAACACUUGGCAGUUUCUGUUAUCUGUUCUCUGAUAUUAGCAUCAAUUCUUCUCAACAGGCAAGUCCAGUUAUUCGGCCUUAUGUCUUUCUCUUUAGUAAAACAGUAUGUUUUCAUUGUUUUAGACCUCCCAAGGAAUCAAUUAUGGCAAUCAUCUGCAUUAUUAUGUUAUCGUGCAUCAUAAUGUAUACAUGGUGGAACUAGAACCUCAGGUACAAAACCGUGGAGAAUGCAAUGCUGAAGCAAAAUAGUUGAACUAGAAGCUCAAGUACAAAACCAUGGAGAAUGCAAUGCUGAAGCAAAACAGUGGUACUAGACUAGAAAUUUUCUUAUUUGAUAUCAAAUAAUUAUAGUCAAUGGAACUUACAAAUGUGUAUCACUACAUUCUUAUUUUCUCAUACAUUUAUCAACUUUUGUGUUUUUUAUUUCAGCUAUCAAACAUAGUUAUGCUCCAUAGAAGUUAGAGAAAAAGUUAUUUACAUGAACUUUUGUUGUUAAGGUUAGUUUUUCAAAUUGUGUUAAUUUGUUUCCAGUUUAUUUUCUUAGUUUAGGGAAGUGGAAUAUGCCUAGACCAACGGUUUGGCAUUCACAUACUGUUCAAUCCUCAGAUUAACAAUGUAGAUAGAACUUAUUUAAUCUUUCACUCAAUUCAUCUUAACCAUCUCUUAAGUGGUCUAUGCUUCCUUCUAGUGGAGAUUUUGUAACUUUCAGGGUACCAUGUAUCAUUGUUUUGUUGUAUCUUUAGAGACUAUGUUUCUCUCAUACUUUGUAGUUUAUAUUACAGUAGUUGUCCAAUGAAGUAUUAGUCUAGCUUUCAAAUGUUUGUUGUUUCUAUACCCUUUUUUUUGCUGACAUCUGGUGACUACGUGCAUUGAACUUUUUGGGUUGGUUGCAAUUUACAAGUAGAUAGAACAAUUCCCAAGUUGUGCAUCUUGCCGGUAGAAGUUUGGAACCAUUGGUUGCAUUAUAGCAGGAAUUAAAAUACUUUUGAUGAACUUUUGAUGACAUUUGUGAUCGGUAUGGCUGUUGGACUCCAUGUAUAGUUUCACAAAAUGUACUAUAGCAUGUAGCAUAUUAUGAUUUCCUUUUUGUUCCAAGUUUGAGAAUUAUUUAAAUGUGAUGUUCAAGUUUUAGCAAGAAAUAAUUCUGUUUUUAUAUUUUUUUUCAGCAAUAUUCCAUUAAAUUUUUUAUGGUUUUGGUUACUGAUUUUACUACACAAUUUAUAUCUUGAGUCUAGAAUAUAGAAGUUGGAAACUUCUCUAAUUAUGUAUCUUGGAGUCUAUACCUAGACACUCUGCUCAUUAGUACCCUAUUUUCCCUUCUAUAUUGUCUUUUUCAUUACAACUGAAAAAAUGCAAUUUUGUGUGUGUCUGUGUGUUAUUGUCAGAUCUUUUUGGAAGUUAUUCACUGUGAUUAGGCUCUCCUAACUCUCUACUAUCUCACCAAAAAAAAUCUCUGCUAUUUCAAUUUACAACGACAGCCAGUCACAUAAUUGUAGAUUGAACAACCGGCGAUACCUCAGACAAGUUGACCUAGAAAGUAGUUUGUAAGUGUAGAGCUGUUUUUGUUAAAAAUGAACAAUUUGAAGUUCUAUCUUUUGAAAAAUGUAGAAUAGACAAGUCUACUGAAAGCACGAACUUAUGAAUUAUGUAAAUAUAAAUAAAAAUGUGCAACACUGAUCAAUCAAAUGUACCUCUAGCAACGUGAGGGCACAUUUCUAGUCUUUAUAUAUUAAACCGAUUGGGGUAGAUUAAUGUUCACGUGAAAAGUUCCGUGACGGUUUUACCCCUCCGUUUUUUCCUUUAUUUCAGUUUUGCCCUUUAUUUCUUAGUUUUUUUCAUUAUUUACUUUUUGCCCCUCCGUUUUUUCCUAUAUUUCAGUUUUGCCUCUCACCCCUCAGUUUUUUCUUUAUUUGAAAUUGGCCCCUACGUUUUCCCCUUUAUUUCAAUUUUUCUCUUUAUUUUUUCCUUCAUUUCAGUUUUGCUCCUCAUCCCUCAGUUUUUUCCUUUGUUUUAGUUUUGCGCCUUAGUUUUUUUUUCUUUUUAAUUCUAUACGUUUGACAUGAGAGGAAAUUGCAUUCUAAUAAUAAUAUUGAGAGAAAAUUAAGUCUGCUCCAAACUCAAAUAUGUUGAUCAUUGUCAGUUGCGUGCAGUUAGUAAGACAAAAAUAUUACAAUUUAAGUUUCGUUCAUGACUAAUUUUUAAUCAUCACAUUAAUUGUUCCUUUAUUUCAUUUUUAACUACGGAUUUAAAAAACAAUUUUUCCUGUCUUGACGAGGCUGAUGGUAGCGGAGCCAAUAUUGUUACUUCGUUCACUCAGAACAAUUGACAUUGAACGUGUAAAUGUUUACAAUUAAUUCCCUUUUGAUCUAAUUUAUGGGUUGGGCUUACAUAUCUAAAAACAAUGUCAUGUACACAUGUUUAUUUACUUUUGAUUAUUGUUUAGCUUUCUUUCAAAAUGGAAUUCAAAUGUGGGGUUAACUUCGUUUUCUAAUAUUAUCUCUCUCAAUUGUGUCAUUUUUAUUUAAAUUUCAUAAAGUUGUUGUCUGUGAAAACCGCACAAUAAUUGAUCGAACCAGCAAAGAUUUUAAAAUAAUUAUUCAACAGACGGAAAACACACUUCUGCACGCGCGCGAGCGCGUGUGGGAAGGCUAGUAUCAAUAAUUAACCCUAUUCAUUUGAGGGGAGGAGCAGAGGGCCGCACACAGCAAAACGGGAAGGGCUGUGCCCUUUCCCUUCCCCUUUCCAUCGUUCCAUUCUCUCCUCUCACCCUUCCGCCCUCUACUUUAAUUCUUCUUUGGUUCUUUGUAAUUUGUUUUGGGCAUUUGAAGGAGUACUCACCCAUCAUCAAUUUUGUCAAGUUGAGGAGAAGCAAGAGGCAAUCACUAUUUGGGUAAAAGGGGGAAAUCAUAAUUCCAAGGCUUGUUAUUUAUGUUUUUAGCAUUUGUGACUUGUCUUGGUUGUUCUUCCUCUUCUAUUCCCUUUCUCCUUUUAUUUGUAUGAAAUUGAUUGAAUUAAUGAUGUAUGUAUUUAUGGGUAGUGAGUAGAACACUUUUUGGGAGCAAGGAUUUCUACCUCUAGCUCAAUUUUGAUGUAAUGAACACAUUUUCAAAGUAAUGGAUAUCGUAUUUUCUUAUGGGUGCACUCUAAUUAUUAUGCUUAUUGAUUCUUGAUGCAUUAAUUUAGGGAAUUGAUCACUCUCUUUGUUAUGUGUUAAGAUUUGUGAUGUGUGUUACAAUUGGUGGUUCUUUUGUUCACUAGCUUCUUGUAAUUAGUGUGGUGUGUCAAGUAGUUGCUUAAUCAAAAACUAAUGAUUGCUUAAGUUUCUAUUGUCUUGUACUCUUCGCCUUUAGUCUUAUUGUUGUGGCCCUAACAUGGCAUGAUAAUUGUGAUUAGAGAGUUCAUUCUUGCCUUGAUCGGAAGAGUGGAUACCAAAUAGGAGAAAUUGACUUAGUGGCCUUGACCGGCAUUAGGUACGAAACUAUGUAGUUGUGACAUUCUAGGUUGUAACUAUUGCAUGCUUAAAUCCCUAACUUCUAGAACUCUUCGCCUUUGGUUUAUGUUUUAGUAGCCCUUGAUAAGGUACUAGUCCAUGAUCUAGAGAGUUCAUGUUUGCCUUAAUCAAAUAUGAAUACCCUUAAGGAAGUUAGGCUUAGUGGCCUUAACUGGCAUUAAGUACGGGAUAUGGUACUCAUGAAGAUUUGUUUAUUUGCUUGAAAUUUGUUUGUUGCAUUGAAAUUGCUAGAGCGAUCCCUAGCGCCCAAAUCCCUCAUUCUAUUAUUUUCCUUCUUUUUUAUUUGUCAUUGUUACCCGUCUGCCACUUCCGCGUAACAAGUAGUAUCAAAGCCUAGGCUACUCUUGGGACUUGGUGUCUAAUACGAUCGAGUUGCAAUUUGGUGGAGCUCUCGUUUGGAUUGGGAUCACAAGAUUCAGAUGGUUGUGAUCGAGGUUGAGCUAUUGGAAUUUGGAUCGUGAGACAGUUGGAGAUGGUUCUAAUCACGCCAGGUGGAGAUUAUUGGAAAAGUGUGGCUUAGAUAUGAGCCAUUUGGAAUCUCACAUCGGAAACGUGAAAGAGUCAUCGUUGUGUUAUAAGGAAUGUUACCACACACACUAAUGUCAAGAUUUUUUGUGUAAAACCUCAUACUCGUUUCUCCACCGGGUGGCUAAAGUGGGAGGAGUAUCGGCAUUAUUGGAUCCGUGUGUAUGAGACUAGUGGGGCCCGUCAGCCACUUCCACAUAACAAUUUCUAGAGCGCACGGUAGCUAGGGUUAGGGUUUUUCUUUUGGUUUACAAACUUAAAACAAAAGGUUUGAUAACGUGUUGAAUGAGAGAAUAUAACGAUCAAUAAGGAGAGAAUAUAACGAUAAAAAACUGUCUGUUUAUUCGUUGAUAGAAAGAUCUAUUUAUAGACAUUACAUAGAGUCUCCCAAGAGUCUCCCAAAGGAUCUAGAUUUUCUAUCAAUACAGUAGUUUAUUCUAACGAGGAAUGGAUUAUAUCAAGACACGUAACAGGAGGACAUGAAAGUAAUUUCAUUAAACAACUACGAUUAAAAAUGCUAUUGUUAUAUAUAAACGACAUGAAAAAAGCAAAAGAAAUCUCUAUUCCUUUCUCACGGCUUUGAUUCAGAUAGUGAUUUUAUACCUCCCAAAAUUUUAUUGUUGAAGAAUCUCCAAGUUCGUUAUCGUAGGUUUGGAUUUGGGACUUUAAUUUCUACAAAAAAAAAAAAAAAAGUUUGGAUUUGGGACUAUCCGCGUUGAUUUUUUAGACAUACAUUUUGUACGAUCAAAAUCUAAUAGGUUGGGUCGUGUUGUAUUUCUUCUUUUUGUACAAUCAAAUUUCACUAGUUUGUUUUGCACUACUUUGGAAAACGCUUAAGAUUGUUACUUAGACUUGCUCUUUAUUUUCUCACAUCCAGGUGAUGUAUUUGUGAUAACUCCAUUUGUUUCUCUUCAUUGUUAAUAUUCUUAAGCAAAUCUUGUUUGUCACUCGCAGCCAUAAUAUAUAUAAAGGAAGAAUUAUCCUAAAACCAGUUAGAGACCCUAUCUUGUUAGACUUGCUUUGGUUGUUUCUUCGCCCAAAAUGACAGAAUUGGAACAUGCGACAGAAUUGGAACAUGGAAAAGGUAUGUCCACUAAUGUUUUGAUGUUGCUUAUUUGGUUGCAUGUACUAAUACAAAAUGACCCGUUAUAGAUUGCGGACACGACGAGUCUGGCUCGCUGAGAACACAGGGUGGGACUGGGAGAAAGUAGAUGAAGCAAUCAAGAGAUUAGCUGCUUUGAGUAAGGAGAAGAUGCGCCAGACUUAUGAUGAUAGCUCAUUGCCCUCUACUUGUGCCAUCUGCAAACGCCGUUUUAUUAUUCCUGUUGAAACUUCAUGCAAGCAUUACUUCUGCAGUCACUGUGCAGAACAGGUAAUUGCCAUCCUUAUUGUUUUGUUGCUGUAAUUUGAUGUGAAUGAAUUACCGCCUUGGAUUUAUGAAUCAAGUGUUACAUGGAGUCCUUCUGCUUUCUGACGUUUCUUUCAAGUGAUUUCUAAUGUUAUCUGCUUCUUAUUCGCAGCAGCAUUUAGACAACCACAAGUGCUUUGAAUGUGGAAAACCUACUGAUGGCUUAUUCAAAGCAGCUCACUACCUGGCUCUAAAGAUGGAGAGGGAGGGUAAGUAACAGCAUAUUUCGUUACUUAUCAAUCUUUUGGUUUGAACAAAGUCACUCUGAGUUCUGUCUAUGAAAGAUUAGUGUAUGGAAUGCUCCACAAUGGUGCCAGCUCCAGGAUUAUUGUUUUCUCUAUAUAAAUUAACUAUGAGCAUUCUUCAAUUGGAUGGUAGACAGUAGAGGACAGUCCUCUCUUUAGAGAGUUUCUAAAGCAUAUGUCAAGUUUUGCUUUGUUUACUUACCACGAUUUUCCCUAUGACUAUAAUGUGCAGUUACUUAUGUAUGAUGUACCUAAAUCUAAUCUCGUGUUUUUCCAGAGUUACUAUUUUCUACAUCAGUACAUCACCUCACUUUUGUUUUGGUUAUAGUGUUGGACAACGACCAAAAUUGCUACUGUUUGAGAGUGGUUCUCUGUAUUAAACUUUGUAUUUCAAUGGUAUACAGUACUAACAUUUGCCACUUGCAUUUCCAGCCCGGAGCAAGCCAUGGAAGCCAUCAAAGAGCAUCAGAAAGCAGAUGCUUGAUGAAGAUAUCUCAGAAGCGAAGGGUUGCUAAUUGUUUCCCACUCAAUAAAUACAUUGUUGUUUUGCAUUCCACUGUAACGUACUGAUGGAUUGCUCUUUUUCAUUUCCAGUUUGGAACUUAUGGAACACAUCAGAGAAGCAAAUAGUUGAUGAAGAUGAGCACGAUAAGGAUUUACUCUCUGGGAGCAUUGUAGUCCCCAAUGAUAGAAACAAAUGAAAGAUUUGCAUAUGCCUCCAAAGUCCAAACUGCCAACAGUUAUCGUUCUAGCACAUUUCAAGCAGGGCUUUAUAAAAAGAGAAACAAAGACUUGGUUUCACCCUCUGAGUUAUAUAGGGGUCAGGGUUUGAGUACCAGCUUCUUAAUCAGAAAGAGGAUGUCUCUACUUUUGACAGCCAACGCCACUUAAACCCUGUAAACCCGUUGUGGUUUAUGAUCAAGUAGCCUUCAUCUUUUUUGUUCUCCUCAACCUUACCCAUUUGAAUCAUCACGAAUUUUCCAUCAUUUUCAUAACAUAAAAAUGAAGAGAGACAUCAUUGGAGUUUCUGUGUAGCGUCAAGCAGUUAAGGGCACAAAUUAGAGUGAAGUCGGGAAGAUGGGGGUGCAAAGAGAAAAAUUAUGGGCAAAAUUGAAAAUUUGGUGUUCAAUGAUAUCAGAGGUACAGAAAGCAAAUUCUGAAAUCUAAAUAGAACCCCUCUUAAAGUCUUAAUAAUAUUGACCAGAACUUGAAACAAAAGAUGAAACCACACAGGCCAAUUGUUCAGGACUAGUCAAUUCAGCAGAACCUGUACAUCUCCUGACUGAAAAACAGAAAGAAAGAAGAGGAUAUACAACUGAUACACACACCUUCAAGUUCAUUAAUUAGUCUUCUAUAUCAAAGAUGAAAAAUCCAUAAACAAAAAAUGGGGAUCAUCUUACAUAUCUUCGUUGUUAGAACUUGGGAUUAAGAGCCCACUUAAUUCAGUAUCCAGCAGUAACAAAGAUAUAAUGCCAAAAAAUGAAUAGAACAAGCAGAUGAAGGGACUAUAGAGGAUAAAACAUGGUACAACACAUAUAAGGGGGGUGGAUCAGGUCAUAUAAAGCACAUAAUGUAAGCUGAUUAGAAGAAUAUAUUAAUAGAUGAACCUCUUUCAACAAUUAGGCAUUCAUGUGUUCCUCAGAAAAACAUAAAUGGAGACAACAUGGGUUCUUGAUACUAGCACAAACCCUCAUUCAUGAUUCAGCUUUCUUUUUAUCUUCCAAAAGCUUUAACUCCUGACGCCAUCCUUCCAGUUUCGUUAACUUUUCCAACUGCUCUGGCUUACUAUCUUUCUGCUGAGUUUUCUGCUGCUGCGCUUCUGCAAGUCGAAUCUGCAAAAGUGAACCAUCAAGUAAGUAAUAACAUACGGCAUAAUUGUCAAAACCAUGUUAAGAACAGCAACUUCAACUGUCUUGAACACUAAACUGUAGACUACCAAGUGGGCAAAAAACAUUGACCACUGCAGUAUAAGGGACCAACUGUAUUAAAAGGGAGUGAAAGCUAGCCAUGCAUUGUUAUGAACCCAGAAUUCCUUCGUCUUAUGCUCAAGACUUUAGAUUAUGCCAUCCGAUUCUAUUCAUAGCAAGAGCUUAAAACCUUAUGAUCUUAGAUUCUAACUACUUACUAAUGAUUAGUUGGAUAGUUUAUACUUAAACAAUAACAAGCACACCAAAGAUUCUCAAUCGAACAUUGAUACAUAAGAUUUGUUAAUGAUAGUUAGGCAAAAUUCUGGAAUCCAAAAGGUAAGGCUACAUAUUUUCUCACAGGCCAAAUACAUAAAGCUCAUAUUGAUUCCAGGCAAGGCUAAAUUGGUCAUAAUUUGUACCUUUUUUUUAAGUGCUCGGAUUUUUUUAUCGAUAUCUUGAACUGGAGCUCCUAGAUUUGAAUCCUCUAUUGAGUCAGAGGAAGGGGUAACUAAAGCAGAAUUAGAAGAAACACCAAGCUCGUUCAUCUGAGAUGUCAAUGACUGGACUGAUGUUGAUGCAUGACCUACACCUUGAGCAGGUGGCUCUUCUUCCUUAGUAUCCCCAGUUUCCGCUUCUUCUGAGGUUUUCUCCUUCUCAAGAGCAGCCUGCAUGAAGAGAUGAACCAAGAAUAAAAAAAUAAUAAAAAAUAAAUAAAAAUAAAAAAGCAGCCUGAAAUGCAAGUAAUAACUUUGCGAACCACCAAUGAACUAUCUGAUUAGCUGUUAUUUCCACUGAUGCCAAAACUGUUAGUGGCACACAUGGUUGUGCAAAAACACAACAGUACUGGAAAAUUAGUAAAGGGGUCAUUUUGUUCUCCUUUCUCUCUCGCUCGUUUAUCGUGCACAUUAUUAUCAUCCACACCUUUUAUUCUCUAAAAAGCAUUGUUCUUUCAGAUCCUUUUGGAAUCCAAAUCAAACCUCUUUUUGCUAAUUCAUUUAAAAUCUAACCCUGCUAGCAUUCAAUUGAAAACCAUCCAAAAGCUGACUUCAAUGACACCCCAAAAACCAAUGUCAAUAACAUCAGCUUCAGAUUCAGCUCUAAACCAUAUUUUAUUGACACCCACUUAUUAAACUUGCUAUUAAUCCUUAAUUACUGACGUACUUAAGUAAUUAAUAAAUCUUAGUAAGCACCAACUGUGAAGUUAAAGGUCCUCAAAAUAAGAAGUAUAGGUACAAAUGACCUACAUCCUUAUAGCUUCAUAAAAAUAAAAAAUAAAAAUAGGGGAAAAAGAGAGAAAAAUAUGUUAAUAGGAAUAGUUGUACUUGUUUGUAAAUUGGAAUUGUUAUUAACAGUCCCCUAAAAAUCAGUAUACUACUUUUUCCUUUUGUUUCAGUCUUAGAAACAAGUUUCUCAUAUCAAUUCCCAUAUAACCCUUCCUUUUCUAUUCAACUAAUAUGAGGGAGGGUAUUGAGGCAACUAAAUUAUGAAGUUUCAUAAAAUAACCAAAAAAUAAAAGGGGACUAUAGAUUGACUAUUGGGUAGUAUUAACGGUAUCACAAAGCAAAAAGGGAGGGCUUACCUAUUAAAAAUUUAGGAUAAAAAUACCAGAAACUUAGUUGAAGAAGUAAGAUUGUUUAUUUGAAAGCUUCUAUUUGGGAUAUUUUACAUGCCAUAAACAGUGAUUAUGUGAUCUUCAAUGCACAUCCAUUACAGAACUGUUAAAAAUACAUUAAAUUCUAAAGUACGCAACAUAAAACUAUUUACCAGUUUAAGUUAGUUACCCCGGAGAAAUAGACCCCUGAUCUCCAUUUCCUUUGAAAUGGAGUGAUACGUAGUUUACAGUUAAGGUACAAAGUUAAGGUCCUUCAAAAAGUGUUCAUAUACAAAAUGGCACAUUGUGGGUUCCCCAAACUGGCUAACAAGAGAAAUGACACAGACGUCAUAGCACGACUUUAAAAUUUAAACCUCCCUUAUACUCAAUAUCCACAGAAUGGUAUUCUAACUUAGGACAACCUUGUAUUCAGGAUUUCUAAGAGAUAUGCUGACUUGUAAGACUAAUCCAAGAGAGCUAAUCCAAUCUACACAGGAUAAUUUGCAAGCACAGGAUAAGGCCACAAGACAUACCUGCAGCCGCUUCUCCUUCUUUCUUUCAUUCCUUUUUACAGACUUGGUCUUGGGUUUCGCAUCGGCCACGACGGGAGUAGUAUCAUCAAAACCCGGUGGCCCUGCCUGUGAGGACAUCUCCUUUUUCCACUGCCAUUACACGAAACAAAAACAAACAUUCACUUCCCUCCCCAAAACAGAAGCCUGAAAUCAAGAGUGAAAGGGAAUGAAAUCAUACCAAGGCACCUUUGGAUUGGUAGAGGGCGACUUCUUCCUGGGGCACAUACCCGGCCCGAAUGCGGAUGGGUUUGCGGAGCGUGCCGUCGGGUCUCCGGGUUGGCGCUAGAAUCCUCUCCCCUUCUUUUAGGGAUUUGCCGAUCUCCUCCGUCAGUUUCAGCUCCUGAUCUCCUCCUCCUCCGCGAUGAGCCAUCUCGCAACCAAUCCCAAAUGAUCUUGUGCCGUACAGCGAGGUAGCUACUUCACUCAAUCUCUGUCUGCUUCUUUAAUCCUAGGAAUAGGAAGAGGAAGAGGGCUUUAGUUGCCACUAGGUUUCAAAAUCUUGUUAUUAUACCCUAACUCCCUACCCACGAAUAACUUGUCGGUAAUCCAAUUACCCGGAUCCGAUUUGUCAUUUGUCUCGGUCCAUUUUUUGUUUUCGGUUUAGUUUAAAACAAAGAAAAAUUAUGUUAAAACAUAUCUAAUAUCUUAAUGUUGUGUAGGAAAAUACACUUUACUCUCAUAUCUACUACUAUAAGCUAAACCAUAAAUAGAUUCAGCAAAUUGUGGAUUGCCUAAAUUACCAUUCAUAUACAAAAAAAAAAAAAAUCAUUUAAAAUGAUUAUUCUAUAAGUAAAAACAAAAGACAAACUGAGUGAUGACAAGUAAACUUCCACCAGCAUUGCACGGUGUAAGGCUAGUUGUAGUAUAAUUCCUAUUUUCUUAAUGGUACUUUGUAGGCCUCUUUAAAUAGAGACUCAUAUUUCUCUGAAUUCUCUCUUUCCAUUACGUUUUUCUUUCAGCACAUUAUCAACACGCUCUUGAACUGAUAGCAAAGCACUAUUAAGAAUAAUUUUUAUCCUAUAUUUUUAGAAAAGAACAAAAAAAAUAAACAUUUAUAUGUAAUUGUAGGGUCAAAUCAUAUUAAAUGUGUUGUUGCGAUUUUUGUGGUGGGCAAUUCAUUCAUCAUAGGGCUAAAAGACUCUUUUUUUAUAUACAAAGAAAAGCUUCUCGAAUAGCUCGAGUUAACAAUAUCAAAUAGCAGCGCUCUAAAAGCAGCUGUUGGGUAUCAAAUAGCUGGGCUAAAAGACAUUGUUGAGAACAAUUUUAGUCCUUAACAAUAUGACAUUUUACCCCUUAACAUGUUGGGUUGGAGAUGGAAAGGACAAAGAUAUGGAUAUAUGGCCUUUUAGCCUUACGAGUUGGAGAAGGUCUUAGAGAGCGUCUCCCAUGUACGUGUUUAGUAGUUCAAUCACUCGUAUUUUAAUUCAAGCUCAAAUUUUGAGCAUAAAACAUGUUGUCCAGUUUCAUUUCCACUUUUGUAUUCGAGUUACUUGAAUAGUUUGUCCUUGAAAACAUUUUACAACAAAUAUCCCAAAUCCAUAGCUCUUCCAAGUUACUAACUGAAUGGUUUGUUUUUGGGGCAAGAGCAUCUCUAGCAGAGUUGCUAAAUUUGAAUUUUAACCAAAUUUAUGCAUUUUUGUAGCAAAAAUUUAUUUUAACUAUUGCUAAGCUAGAUUGAUAAAUUUAGCAAUUGGGUUUGAAUUGUUAAAACAAAAACUAAUUUUUUUUUUUCCAUUUUGUCCACUUGUUAAUUCAUGAUUAGUCCAAAUUUAUCAGUUAACUCCAAAUAACAAUUUAUUGCUGAAACACCAUUGCUAUUUCGAUUGUUAAAUUUCCUAACUAUUGUUAAAUCUAACAACAAAUUAACCUAGACUACCAGAAAUGCUCUUGCAUCUCUAGUAGUGAGAUUCAUAAAUUGAUAUAUUUAACAAGAAUUUUAAAAUUUAGAUAUCAAUUUAACAAUGUUGCUCCAUCAAUAAUUGUUAUUUAUUAUGUUUUAACAAAUUGUAAAGUGACACGUGAGUUCUGGAGAGAGAAGAUUUAGUUAUUGCUUUAGAGCAAGUCCACCUUCUAGCUAGGUCUUCGUUGGGAAGGCUUGUGUCAUGGGUGAGACUUGGGUUGCCACCUGGCAGUGUUUUUGGGCUGCAGUUUCCAUCCACUAUUUAUAUUUCUAAGUCGCAACGUGGCAGUGACUGUUUAUUAAAUUUUAUAUUAGGUAUUUUGAAUGUGAAUAAUGAUUUUAUAUAUUAAUAAAAUUAUGAUUAAAUAAAGAAAAUGACAUAUUGAAAUUAAAAUAUUUAUUUCAUGACUUAAAUUGUCGCCAAGUCAUCUUCUUCUUGCAACUUGCGAUCAUUUCCCACAAAUUAUCGAUUGCGAUCAAAGAAAGAGAGGAAUUGUGAGAUGGUAGAGAUAUGAAAAAUGUUUUCUUUGGAACUAGGAAUUUUUUGUUGUGUGAGAUGUAAAUUAAAUGGUGAUAUAUAUAAGAAUUUUUAUUAUUUUUUUAAGUAGUUAACUCAGUUACUGUUGGGAUUAUUUUUAUAAAAAAUUCAUUUUGAACCGUUGGAAACACAACGGUAACUUCAUUGUAUAAUUGAAUGUUGUUGAUCUGCUUGUUUAAUCACAACCAACGAUCCACAUCAAAUGAUCGUUGGAUUUGAAAUGAAAAGCAACGAGCCCAGCUACUGAUGCGUGACCCCUGCUUCUGAAUUCAAACUGCGUCGCAACAAAAACACGGCACGCGCUUGGCUUAUUCCCGCUCGUAGUAGCCUUUACUCGCUAGGCUCUCGCGUCGUCCCACCUCACUUGCACGCGCUUCACGUGUUCAGCGUCAGCUGGGCCACACAAAACGGGCUGAGCCGGGUCUUCAAAAAUGGAGGCCUGGGUCAUAGGUCUGACCUAGGUGAAGACCUAAUGAAGGCCUGGGUUAAAAAAAGUUUGUGGGUGGACUUUGUUUUUUUUUUGUUGGGUCUUCAUUUGAGGUGGCUGAAGGCCUGAGUCAGGUUUUUUGAGCAAAGGUGGAUUUGCUCUUAGUUAUGCAUGCAUGGUCGACAAAUUAAUUAAUUUCAUCUAACAAUUAUCAAAUUUAGCAACGGUACGUAACCCCCAAAAAGUUACUAACCAGUAACCAUUGCUCUUUGCAUCACGUGGUCAUCACGUGUACGUUAAGGAAGAAGUGGUCUUGACGCUUGAGCAACGAAAAGGAAGAAGUAGACGAUAACAGAUCAACCAGGCCUUGCACUCUCUCCUCUACUUCAAUUUCAAUUUUCAAUUUUGAUUUCAAUUUGCGCCCUCCAGACGAAUCAGCUUAUCUGGGCUUGCAGCGCCCUUGACAAGCCUCAGCUCAGGAUCGCCGUAGAGCUUUGAGUCUCGGGUAAGAAGAUUUGAUCACGAUAAUACUCAUUCAAAUUCAAUACCAUUUGUGUUGAUAGCAAAGUUUCACUCUUUAAAUUAUACCCAGAACCUUCAUAUGGAUUUCAAUAGCAUUCUUACUUGUACCAUCUGUUCAAUUCCAUGUCUCACUGUUUAUGCUCUUUAUCUCGUGUGGGUUAGACAAAAAUGGACAAGAGCUCGAAAAAGAAGGUUAAAAUUAGCAAUCAAGAGGAGAAUGGUGAAUCUGAUGAUGCUUGGUGGUGGCUGGUGCACAAGGGAAUCACAGCUUCCUUCCUGUGCAUUGCAUUGUUUUCUCUUUUGGUUCGAGUGGCAGUGUCACUCCAUCCUUACUCUGGUGCUGCAACUCCUCCCAAGUUCGGGGACUUCGAAGCGCAGCGGCAUUGGAUGGAAAUCACCCUCAAUCUGCCAGUUAAGGAAUGGUACCGUAACACUACACUCAAUGAUCUCAGCUACUGGGGUUUGGACUACCCUCCUCUCACUGCUUAUCAGAGUUAUGUCCAUGGUCUGUUUGUCAGAUUCUUUAGUCCUGAAUCAGUUGCUCUUACCACUUCCCGUGGCCAUGAGUCCUAUUUGGGGUUUGUACCUUGACCCAUCUUCACCAAUUUAUUUUUGAAUGAGGGAAUUUUGUUUGUAACUGUAAGCAUUGAGUUUCCCUUCAUUCUAAAUGGUCUUUCUCGCAGGAAGCUUCUUAUGAGGUGGACAGUGUUAUCGUCUGAUGCCUUGGUGUUCUUUCCUGCUGUGUUUUACUUUAUUGUUGUUUACUAUAGUGGCCGUAAGCAAAGUGGUAGUAUGGGUGGCAUAGCAUGGCACAUUGCAAUUAUUUUGCUCAAUCCAUGCCUGAUCUUAAUUGACCAUGGUCAUUUCCAGGUUAAAAUUAAGUUAUCUGUAGCAUGCUCCGUGUUUCUAUCUCUCUCUCUCUCNNNNNNNNNNNNNNNNNNNNCGUUCGUUCUUCUCUCUCUCUCUCUCUCUCUCUCUCUCUCUCUCUCUCUCUCUCUCUCUCUAGCUCUCUCUCUGUAUACAAUAUUCUGAACUCUUGAAUCUUAUUUCUUCGUGAUUUUUGUCAGUACAAUUGCAUCAGCUUGGGUCUGACUGUGGGAGCUAUUUCCGCUAUUCUAUCUGACAAAGAUCUUCUAGCCUGUGUCCUAUACAGCCUUGCUCUCAACCACAAACAGGUAUUUUUCUGAUACAUUUUGGGCCAGAUCCUGAUAGCUUAAGUUUCCUUACCUUAUCUAUUUCUGAAAUUGUUCUGGUUCAUUGUUACUUUUCCUCUGAGAGAAAGGAAACAUUGGCGUAAAUAGGGUGCAAAUAAGUAAAUUAAUAAGACAAAAGCGAUGGGAAUGUUAAACAAAUCAAGGUUAAUAAAAGGUCAGGAGACAGGAAAGGUGACUGAUGUUGCAAAACCAAAGAAAGUGAUACUCGUAACCGAUUAGUAAAUAGAUAUGUAUGUAGCCAAGAGUCAGUUUGAGCUUUUCUGGGUAAGACGGAGAUCUGUUGUCUCCUUUCUUAUUCACUUUGGUUGUGGAUUGUUUAAGUAGAAUGGUGGAUAUUUGGUAGAAGGUCUGAUAUGGGGAGAGAAGAUGUAGAAAUAUGUCACUAUUAAUUUGCAAACAAUACAAUAUUCUUUCUCUCCAAGGGAACCAGAACUUGGCUACUCUUUUUAGGGUAAUUGAAUCAUUUCGUUUUUUUUUUUUUUUUUUUAAUUCUUAUUAUUUGGGUCAAAAAUGAAUAGGGAAGAGUGCUCAGUAGCUGGGAUUAAGACUCAAGUAGGAAGAGUUGGGGAGUGGGCGAAAAUUAUGAGACGUGGAGUAGGAAUUUGCACCUGCCUGUCAGAGGGAACUUUGGGCGGUGGAGUUCCGGUUGUGGUGAAAGUAGAGAGAAGGUUAGAAGGGUGGAAAAAAGCUCUUUUGGGUAGCGGGAUCAGAGUAAGUAGCAGUUUACCAAUUUCUUAUGCCUACCUGUUUCAAAUCCCUGGAAUGUGGAAUAGAAGAUUGAGAGAGUGAAAAUGGACUUUUUAUGAGAUAAUGUAGUAGAUUGAGAAUGAUGACAUUCGAUUCCAGGAGGAAAUAUUUUUACUGUUUCUAUGCAGUUAUUAGAAGUACAUAUUGACUAAAAUAAAAUGACUGAGAAAUCGUAGCACCAAUAUUCGAAAUUAUCAGUGUGUACUGUUAGAUCCUUCUAGUUCAGAUAGGAGAAAGUGAAAGUUGUCUUUGGGAAAAUCUCCUAUCUAAGGCAUUCUCACAAUCCACUGCCUCUGUAUUCUGGAAUGCUAAGGUACCUCCUAAGGUAUCAGUGCUAGCUUGAUAUAUUGUUCAUGGCAAGAUUUAUAUCUGUGAUAUGGUGAUGGGAGAGGCCUCUUUAAUUUUUCUCCUUACCGGUGUUUGAUGUGUAAAUCUGGAGACGAGAGUGGGAUUCACAUAUUUUUACAUUGUUCAAUUGCUUUUGCACUUUAGAAUAGGCUGUUUCAAGAAGCUAUGUUGAGCUGGGCCAUUGCAGCUAACUAUAUGGCUCUAUUGAAGAAAUGAGAAGGGUCAGCAGGACACAUGAUUAAUACUGCAAAACAAAAGGAAGUGGUACUUGUUACCAAUAAGGAAAUAGAACAUGUAUAUAUCCAAGGGUCAGAUUUGAGUCUUCCCUGGGUCAGAUAGGGAGAUCUCUUGUGUCCUUUCUGAUUCAAUUUGGUUGUUGAUUGUCCAAGUAAAAUGGUGAAUUAUCAUAGAAGGUCUAAUGUGGAGAGGAGAUGUAGAAAUAUGUCACUAUCAAUCUGCAGACAAUACAAUAUUCUUUCUUUAACAUGAAAAUGAUUAACUUGCCAAUAGGAAGAGGCCAUUGAAACAGUUGAAUAAGCACAUUGCAACAAAUAUCUUUCCCUUGAAAAACAAGCUUUCUUCUAGCAAACCACACAUUGUAGCAAACUAAAAGGAUUUUAGCAAUUAUAGAAACAUCGUGCUUGUGCAAAGUUCUUACAUUAUCCUUCCAAAGCCACCCAGCCAUUAUUGGAAAUUCGCCAAUGAAAUAUAUGUGCCUGCUGCCUGUAAGAGGGAAUUCUAGGGCGGCGAGUUUCUGGGAUCCAGCAGUGGAGAAAGAAUCUUUUAGAUAGCAGGGGGCAGAUUACUUUGAUUUAACUGCUGUGGAGCAGUUUACCAAUAUAUUAUCUCUAUCUGUUUUAAAUCCCUGCAUUGUGGCAAAGAAGACUGAUAGACUGAAAAUAGACUUCUUAUGGGCGGGGAUGGACUGGGAAUAAAGAUCAUGUAGUAAAUUGGGAAUGGUGACUCAAGUAAUAGGUGGUCAGGGGUGGGGAUUUGGUGAAAAUAAAUGACCGCUCUACUUGUGAAAUAGAGUCUUUUAGAUAGCAGGAGGAAAUAUUCAAAUUCACUGCGCUAUGCAGUCAUUAGAAGUAGAUAUGUUAGAAGUAAAUAUGGACUAAAAUUAAAUGUCUGGGAAAUGGUAGCACUAAUAUUGAUAUUAUCAGAGUACUGCUGGUUCCAUCUAAGAGCACAGAUAGGAGAAGGUGAAUGUUAGAGUCUUUGGAAAAUUUUCUUUCUUAGCGGGAAUCUCACAAUUUACUCCCUUUUCUGUAAUCUGGAAUGCCAAGGUACCUCCUAAGGUACCGGAGCUAGCUUGAAGCAUUGUUCAUGGCAAGAUUAAUACAUGUGAGAUGGUGCAGAGGAGAGGCCAUCUUUAGUUUGUCUCCUUACUGAUGUCAGAUGUGUAAAGCUGGAAAGCUGGAGCUGAGAGUGAGAUUCACCAUAUUUUACGUUGUUCAAUUGCUUUAGCGCUUCUGAAGAGGCUGUUUCAAGAAGCUAUGUUGGUCAUCGCAGCCAACUGUAUGGCUCUAUUGAGUGAAAAUCAAUAUUUAUGUGGGAGAAGAAGAAAGAACUGUAUCUGGAAGAUGUGUUAUGAUGGUUGUCUAUUGGGGAUAUUUGGGUGGAAAGAAACAAUAGGAUUUUGGCAGAUGGGAGAGAGUAUGGCUUGCUCAUGUGUUCGAUUUCUUAGCAUCCAUAUGUGUAUGGGCUUUGGAAUUCAAAUUCACCAUUUUUCUGCUAAUUUCUAAGUUGGAGUGCUGUUUCACUUUAUGUUUUCUUUAUUUUGAAUAGUCUCUGUCGGCUUUGUUUCUGCUCCCAGCUGAACUCUCUGUUUAAUUCUUACCCACUGCUGUGUAUGUUCUUUAUCUAUUUAAUAAAAUUUUGUUUACUAUAAAAUAAUAAGCAUGUUCAUCUGGUUGUAUAGGAUGUAUUUACGGCUUUAUACUGCUUUCACUAAGUUAUGUUGUUGCUUGAGUACGUCUUAGAAGUGCAGUCAAUCCAGAAUGUCCUGACUAAUUUUAUAGAAAAUGGUUGGAGGGAUUUCGGCUUAGUGUACUGAGGAAAUGUUGGUGUGAUAUUAUCUCCAUAGAGCCAACUCGAAUGAGAUUUAUAGGAGGCUAGUGAGCUUUUUGAUAAUCCGGUUAAAUGUUCUCUGAUCUUUGUUAUUCACCUGGAAAUUCUCUCUGCUGGGUAAUGUUUACUUGAAUGUGAUAUGCUGUUUUGCAGAUGAGUGCAUACUUUGCUCCUGCAUUUUUUAGCCAUCUUCUGGGUAAAUGUAUAAGGCGCCGGUAUCCACUUCUUGAAGUCUUUAAACUUGGCCUUGUGGUCUCAGUUACGUUUCUUGUGGUCUGGUGGCCAUAUGUUCACUCAAUGGAGGCAUUCUUUGGGGUAAGCACAAGUACACAGUUAAUUUCUUUGUGUAUGAGCUUUUACAAUGACUAAACUCAUGCAUCUCUGUGGUUCUAAGAUCAGGCUAUUUGAUGCAAGAUAAAUUCUACCCUUGCCCUUAACUGAUGAGCAAACCAAAAGUAUACACUGAUUCAAUCCAGCUUAAUUCUUUGAUGAAUCCCUUUAGGAAAACACCUAUUGAUGCUUUUUUUUUUUGUCUUUUUUUUUAUCACAAAAAUGGGACACCCAUAUAGUUGGGAUUCAUAUGUUGUUGGCUUGUUGCACAGUGGGCUGGAUAUUUAUUUAGGUUAUGUCUGUUGUUGCAAAAAUGCGCUGGAUUCACAAAGUUCUGUGCAGCACAUAUCUGGUAUUUCAACCUCAAGCAUUGAGACGCUUGAGACUUGGAUUUGUUAAGCUGCCACUAUCUCCCAAUUAUUUUAUUAGUGACAUUCCCCUGCACAAAACAAACAGCAUGCACAACUUUGAUGUCAGAAAUGGAGCUGUAAAUAUAAAUUAAAUGUCGAUUUAUUUGUCUGAGUUUUCUUUUCGUAUUUCGGCACAGAAUGUAUAAAAAGAUAUACAGGAGUUACGAAAUACUAUAGUUAUCUUGUUUAAUAAUUUAAAAAGGGAUAUUUCUUGUUUUUGUUUACACACAUAGAAAAAAGAGAUGAUUUAACUUGAGCUUGGUUAACCUUAUAGGUUCUCUCUCGUCUUGCUCCUUUUGAGAGAGGGAUAUAUGAGGACUAUGUGGCUAACUUUUGGUGCACCACCUCUGUUCUUGUAAAAUGGAAGAGAUUGUUUUCAACACCUCAAUUGAAGGUUCUCAGCCUUGGUGCAACUAUUUCUACUUUUCUGCCUUCAAUGAUUAAGCAGAUAUGGGAUCCAAGUAAAAAAGGUUUCCUGUAUGGGUUGCUGAAUAGUGCUUUAUCAUUUUAUCUGUUCUCUUUCCAAGGUAAGUAGAUUUUAUCCCUUUUCAAGUCCUGUUUAUUAUCCUUCAUAGUACACACUAGUAGAGCCUAGCAUUUAUGUUCGGUAUUCUGAAUUCUCAGUGCACGAGAAGUCUAUUUUGCUGCCUCUCCUACCAGCAAGUCUUUUGGCAAGUGAAGAACCUUUUCUAUAUACCUGGAUGACUCUUUAUGCCUUAUUCUCGAUGUUCCCUCUUCUACAUCGUGACAAGCUGGUUUUACCAUAUCUGGCUAUAUCUACUCUAUUCAUACUUUUAAGCGUGGCACCUAAUAGAAGACAAGACACAAGGGACACAAAUGCUUUCAGAUCGUUUGUGACAAUAUUCUCUCUUUUGUGCUCACUCAUUAUUCAUGUUGUUUAUUUAAGCAUGAAUCCCCCACAAAGAUAUCCCUUCCUAUUUGAAGCUUUAAUUAUGCUUCUUUGCUUUUCCCAGUUCACAUUCCUAGCUAUGUAUACUAAUGCAAAACAAUGGAUGUUGCUGAAACACUCCAACUAUAAAGAAAAGAAGCUCCUUUGAGCCAUGUAUUUGGCAUAACACAUUUAGGAUUUGGUAUACAAAGAUACGACUCUCUGUUUGAAGCUUUGAUUGUGCUUCUUUGAUUCUCUCAUUUCACGAUCCUAGUUAUGUGUACUAAUUCGACACUAUAGAUGUUGCUUUAACACUGCAACUUUUCAUACAUGCUGGAUCUGAUUGAAAAGUUGUACUGAGAUUUUGAAUUUGACCAGUUUAUUGGCAUACGAAUCUGGGAUUUCAUUGUAUUACUACCAGAUUUGUUAAGCUGUGAAAAGGUUGAGUUGUCUCCAAUUUUGGAUCGUCUGUUUUGUUGAAUCUCUCUCUCAAUUCGAAUUGAUCCAAGAAACUCACUUGAUCCAAUUUUUUUUUCUUCCACUGUACGUGUUUCAAUAUGAACAAGAUUUCCAUACGGACGCUAUGCAUGUGGAGGUCGACCCGGUUGCAUUACAUUUGGAGCACCCAUUGGUUUUGUUCCGAGAACAUACUUAUUUUGGCAAUUAAAGCACCGGAUCCAGGAAGAUUCACAAAACACCUCGAACGUACAUGGUACUGUUUUCUUUGAUUAGUUUAUAUAUCUUUAACUACACAUCCAUCAAUUUCAAUUCAUCAAAAUUGUUUUUUUAUGUUUUAUCUUAAAGCGCGGACAUCUUCUACGCUUCUCGAUUUGUUAAGAAGCGCAGUUAUCAUGGUGCUAACUAGGUAGGAAAACAAUAAGCUGCAGGAUAGAGCCAUCGCAAAUUCAUUCAAAAUAGCAAAUAGGCUGAAAGCUUUACGUCCUGCAAAAAUUGCAUGACCAUUCUUAUCAGAUCCUCCAUCACUGUGAAACCCAUGGGUACAAAAAUACAUACCACAUAAGAGCAUGUGGCAAUGAACGUAGAAACAAUCAUAAACAAGCUCAAUGCUUCUUUAUCAACCUUUUUCUCUUUAAUGUUGACUCCACCUUUGAUCUGUGUUAGACAAUUUAUGAUUGUGUCUUUUUUUAAAUAACUCACACACCAUACAUAUGUCAACAAGUUGUUAGUUAAUUCUUUAACCAAUCUGUAGGUCACGGCUCACCGACACUCUGUUAUGCAUUUCCCUAGGUCUAUGUUUAAACACAAUAAGUUGCAUGAUUGACUAUUCUAGAGUGAUCAAUGUUGGUCAUACUUGCCAAUGAUUACAAAGUUUCGAACAUUAUUGAUGUUGGUUUUUGAUCCAAGAAAUGGGAUUGUAGAGUUUACGGAAGGUCUUUAUCUAACUUGGUGCACUAAAGAGUUAAAAUAUGUACCAGUUCAAGAUUUCCUCUCUUUCAUAACAGGCUUGGUCUUCUCAUUCUCUUCGUAACAUGUUUCACCUUCUCAUUUUUUAUCUUAACACUAUAUAUUGGGGUUUGCCUCAGUCUUCUUAAGAAAUCUUAGAGGACACGUCACAAAAUUCGAGUUAGAAAGUACAUCCACAAUGUAGUCACUUUUUCCUUUUGUAUAGGUGACACCUAAAAAAUAGAUAAAUAAAAGCUCUAAAUGUACAGAAAAUAAAUCAGAUGAACACAGUGAAAAACAACAACACGAUAACACACAUUUAUAAAAACAACACAACAUAGUAGCUUACAAAUAACUAUAGAUUAUAAUAAUACAUUAAUUAUGUUAUAGAUUACAACAACUAGAAAAAAAAAAAAGUUAGAGCCUUCCAUUUUGUCAUUCAUUUAGCAACCAACAACAUGAAACAAACGACAUAAAAAAAGAAAGCAAAACUUCAAUAAAUUCCAUUUAUUACUUCUUUCUCUUUUUUUUAGACCUCCUGACGCCUUCCAUCUUUAGCAAGUGUAGCUUUGAAAGGGCUACUUUAGUCUGCCUCCUCAUCUGCAUCUUAGUCGGCGGCUUUGGAGGGGCUACUUUAUUAACACAACUAUCAGCUUUGUCGGCAUUACAAUGAUUAGAAGUCAAAAAUUGCAUCAUAAACAACAUUUGGUCUAGCUUCCCCGACACCUCAAAUUUGUAAUCCGCAAAGCUCUGUUCCAGUCCAGCCACUUUGCCAACCAAUUCAUCAAACUUGUUAUGGGGCACCUGUUGUUGGCUUCACGUCCCUGCAUAUAACAGGGCACCUGUUAUGGGGCACCUGUUGUUGGCUUUGACACAACAACACUCUCUAUGUGCAACCCACCCUUCGUGUAUACCCAUCCGGGUAGCUUCUUUGCUUCAGUGUCCUCCCAACUUUGAACCGGGUACAAUGAUUUGUCCACGAUGGUUGGGCCCUUGACACAAUCGAAGUACACAAGCUGGAGAAAGAGGAGGUUUUCGUUGCAGUUUGACUGAUGAUCCUUGAUCUCCUUAAUUCCAUGCAUCAACCACUUGAAAGAGAAAGCAACCUACUUCAUGGAUGAGAUGCGGCUAGUGUCCUCUAGGGGCAACAACCACUUCUUCGGAAUGGAGAGCGAGGCAGUUGGCAUGAGGAUGGUGAUCAAUGUGAACAAAAGAAAGAGCCGCUUGAAUUUGUCACCCGUUAUUGUUCGAGGCUCAUUCAAAUAUGUCUCCACCUCUUUCAGAUAGAUCUUCCCAUCAUCUCUAGAGAACUCCCUUACUAUAUCGACAAAUUCAAAGUGAUCUUUGUACGAACCUACCUCACUGACCUCAUCCUUACCACUUUGCAACCCCAUCACUUGAGCAACACUACCGCAGAAAUUUCAACCUCCUUCCCAUGCAGCUUAGUAAUAAGUUUUUCGGGAUCUACCAAGUCCACAAGGUUCACAAGAGUGCACACCAUUAAUUUUUGCAUUAUUUUCCCAACAAGUUUUAUCAAAACCCUAAAACCAUUCUUUUAACAUGUUGCCUUCUUCUCAACACUAAACAUAGCAACUAAGGCCUUGAAGCAUUCUGUAGAGCAUCGACUCUCAAUUGUUGAAAAAUGCUGAGAUUUUGCAGAAAAAUAUGAGGUCUGUGAUGGCUCUGAUGGUUUUCAUGCGUAGUGCUCUUUUUCCUCAUCUGGAAGCAACUUCCAUUCUUGUGAAGCCUCGAAGAGGAACUGAAACAAAAUCAAUUAUCUCCCUUCAUACAAGCAUGAAAAUGCAAAAUACAUCUAGGAACCCACACAUCUAAUCACUAACUAAGCAUCAAAUUGACAAUCAAUGAAGAAAUACUCACCAUAAAAACACAACUUCAUUUAAGCACUGCAUUUAAGCAAAAAUGCAGUCAAUAACCAUAAAAACACAACUUCAUUCAUUUGACACUCGAAAUAACACAAUUGAACUAAUUAACAGAAUCGAAACAGUAAACCAAGUAUACUACAUUUAAUUAAAAAAGACCCCCCAUUUGAUGGAGUUUUUCUUCACCUAGAGCUUAAUUCAGGACUUGAUUUUUCUUGCCUUUGAGGACUUUGUGGACUUAAUCCUCUCAUCAGCUAUAGAUUUCUCCAGUACAUAUUUAUCAACCACCACCACUUUCAUUGAGGAGUCACCCGUUUCGGGUUUCGACGCCUCAGCUGCAGCGUCUCUCACGAUAUCCACCACAGAGGUUGGUGUAGUGGUUUUAGGCUUCGACUUCGACCCCCCUAGCCGCAGUGUCCAAUUUAUGAUUCUUCUUCUCUUCUUGUAAUCUCGAUUCCGCCAAUCGCACUCGGGAUACAUUAGAGACAGUGGUGGAGCUAGUGGUUGGGGAUAUGCCCAACAAUCGGGAACUUUUUCUCGGAUCUCCGUCGCCGUCCAAGUACAGUAUGGAAUUUGCCCUAUUCUUGUGAGGGAUAAGUGGGGGCUUUCUGCUUCUUUAGCCGAGGGACUUGUUGCUGCCUUCGUCGGGAGCUUUUUUGCUGAGACAUUUGCCGGUGGCUUCGUCAGGACGUUCUUUUGGGAUAGUGCCAUCUAAGGUUUCAAAAUUUUCCCAAUUGCAUUUUGAAAGUAGGAAUUUUAGGGUUCAAAUUCUGGGUUUUGGUAAAGAAAGAAGGUUCAAAAGAUGAUGAGAAUGGAUUUGCCAAAAGGAUGAAGAGAUGAUAUUUGGUGUGAGUGGAUGAAGAGAUAGAUUUGUAGUAGAAGUGUGGUAUGAGAUAGAUCUGUAUAAUUUUCGGAUAGAUAGGGAGUUAGAAUGAAGUGGUUUGUAGUUGACUGUAGGAAUGAAGUGAUUGAGAAAAAAGAAAGGAAUAAUAGAGAGAUAUAUAGAGUUAAUAGAGAGUUAACCGUGUUAAUUAGAGUUGGCCCCAGCUGCUGCAUAUUUGGGUCGGUUCCAAGACGGACGAUCCGUUUUAAAUAAGGCGGUUUGGAUCGGAUUAUGAUUAUUAAAAAUGUAAUUUUUUUGGACCCGAUCCGUUUAGGGAAAUUCGGGUUCAGAUUGGAUCCUGUUUAAAAAAAGUAAAAAAAAAAAAGACAAAAACUCAAAUAACCAUUUAAUUGAACUAGUUUUUUUUUUAUAGACCGUUAGAUUAUUUGGGUAAAAAAAAAGCUCUGAGGUUCUGAAAAAAGAAAAGCCUGAAGCCGAUUAUUUUAUACUCUUAUUAAAUAAAAUUUGAAGAUAAUUGCGUUAAUCAUUUGAAAAGAAAAUAGAAAAAUGAAAAAACAGUAGAGGGUCCGUAAAAGAGGGGCCAAUACGUCCCGUAAAAUCCACGUCAACUCAGACCGACAGUAGCAGUGAGGUCAGUGACAGUGCCAUUGCUUCUUCCUCACUCUCCCCCCAAGUCCCACCCACCCCUCUCUUCCUCUCUCAAUAAACCCAAAUCAAUCCCUCCAAAGCUACUCCAUCAGUUAUGGAUUUCACAUUUCAGAAAAGUAGCACAAGAAUCACCACCACCCACAUUGCCCUCCUCCUCCUCUUGACAUCAUUCUUCAAUUCCAAUCCGGCCAACGCCUCCAUCCAUAUCUACCACAAAGACGUCUUCCGCGAAGUUGGCAACGCCUUCCUCCUCUCCGGCGGCAGCGAAGGAAUCGCCGCCUCUCCCUCCUCCCGCUCUUAUAUCCGGUACUCUUCUCCCUCUCUUAUUUGCACCUCAUUGCUAGAUCCGUAGAGCUUUGUUUGCUUCAUUUGAGAAUUUUAGGGAUUUAGCUUUCUUCAUUUCAAUCGCAUUUGAUAAUAUCACGAAUGAAAAUCUUAUGUCACUGCUGCUGUUUGUUAUCCUGAUAUCAUGUUUGCGGAACAGAUUUGAGAAUAUCACCUUCUGGAGGAAUGAGGCUGCAGCUGACAGGAAGCGUAGCAAUGGGCUGAUACAGGUCAUCAUUUUCGAAGCUGCGGAUCGGAAUAAUAUCGGCGGUUCUGCUUAUGGAGGACAGAGAUCUAUAUGUUGCACCCCUGAUCUUGCAAAGAUGGAAGGUUGUAAGCAAGGGGAGGUCAUUAGGAGACCUUCUGCCGCUGAUGCUAAUUGGCCUGUUGUGUUGAAUGUCAAGUUCAGAGGGAAGAGUCUGUCUAAAGAGAUGGAUUACAAAGAGAUUUCGAUCACGAAAACGGGGAUGUAUAACUUGUUUUUUGUGGCAUGUGAUCCGAAACUGAAGGAAUUGGUAAUGAGUGGGAAGACGGUGUGGAGAAGUCCUGAUGGUUAUCUACCUGGUCGAAUGGCUCCACUGAUGAAGUUUUUCGUGUUCAUGGCACUUGCUUAUGUGCUGAUUGGUGUAAUUUGGCUUAUUCAGUAUGUGAGGUUCUGGGAUGAUAUUCUGCAACUUCAGCAUUGCAUCACGGCUGUAAUUGCUCUUGGAUUGUUUGAGAUGAUUCUUUGGUAUGCUGACUAUGUCAAUUUUAAUAAUACAGGGAUGAGGCCAGUUUUUCUUACGACAUUGGUUGUGACGGUUGGAGCUGUGAGAAAAACUGUUUCCCGUCUCCUUAUCCUCACUGUUUCUAUGGGCUAUGGUGUAGUACGGCCUACUCUUGGGGGUCUUACCUCCAAGGUGCUUUUGCUUGGAGUAACAUUUUUUCUGGCCACAGAGUUGCUUAAUAUUACCGAGUAUGUUGGGACAAUUAAUGAUGUAUCAGGAAGAGCGAGAUUAUUUCUUGUUCUUCCUGAUGCUUUCUUGGAUGCAUUUUUAAUCUUGUGGAUUUUCACUUCUCUCUCAAAAACACUAGAACAGCUACAGGUACAUCAUUUUUAUCAAACUGUACAUUUUGUUUUUGUAUUUAAUUCACUUUCUGUUUUCUUUGUUCUUCAAGUGCUAAAACCUACAUUCAUUUCAGACAAAGAGAAGCUCUGUCAAGUUGGAUAUGUAUAGGAAGUUCUCAAAUGCAUUAGCAGUGACAGUCAUUGCCUCACUCGCAUGGAUUGCUUAUGAGGUAUUGUUUGGGGGGCUAUAUAUAUAUUUAUUUAUGAUGAUGAUGAUUUAUUAACUUAAUGGAUUCCAUUCUUUUACUGAGGAUUUGAAUAUCUUAAAAAUGAUAUGUGAAUAUUUAUCAGUUUGUUCAGUAAAGAUACUAUUUAUUAUUUUAAGACUUCUGUGCUCUUUCAUUUCAUACGCACGCAUAAAGAAAUAUUUAUGUUCAUUAUCUGAUACUAUUUCCUACAUUAAUGUACAUAUGCUGACUAUAGAAGCCUCAUAAGAAAGUUUAUGGGACAGCAUAUUGGCUCACUAAUGAUCCUUAAUUUACCUAUUGUUGAUACUGUAAUUCCUUUUGACAGUAUUUUAAAAUGGAUCUAAACACUAGCAUCCAUCUAAUGGUUCCAAUCUUGCUUAAUCGCGUUUAACCACUAAGAGGAAACCUGCUUGUUUGAUGCCUAUUGUUGGUCUCAUUUGCCUUUACCUAAUUCUUUUUUGUUUAAAUUGUAAUUCUCUUUAUCUGCCUAUAGUACUUUGUUUCAUCCUUUCCAUACUUGAUUUCUUCGAGCUUUGAACAAUACCAUUUAACAUUGUUGCACGUGUAGGUGUACUUCAAAGCAACAGAUCCCUUCAACGAGAAGUGGCAUAGUGCUUGGAUCAUCACUGCUUUCUGGGAUAUUCUUGCAUUUGCAUUGCUGUGCGUUAUCUGCUAUCUUUGGGCACCAUCUCAGAACUCUCAGCGGUGCGUAAUAAUCCUUAAUUCCUGUGCAAUCAAUAAGAUGCUUGUAUUUCUCUGCUCUUACCUUUUGUUCCAUUUUAUAAGAGGAAAAGUUUCCUGAACCUCUGGUUGGCCAGUGAACGCAUAAUGCGACAUGUUACUGGGAAGUGUACGUUGCAGUUUAGAAUCUAAUCUAUGGACAAGAGUGGUAUUGAGUUGGUGCACACUUCAUAGAGAGAUAGGAAUGUCGCAUUGAGUGGGUUUUGUGAAGCACUAGAGGGGGUUGGGAUGAGGUAUUUUAGAUUGAGUAAUUAGAGUGAGAAACAGACUUUUAGAAGGAUUUUUGUUCCGGUAAUAUGCCCUUUCAAAGAUUCUUCUCUAGUGGUAUAUAACUUGGUUUUUUCAGAAGGCUAGAGUUCAUGUUGGAAUAUUUCUUUUAAAAAAUCCAUAAUUUGAUAGUCAACGUUUUUCAGUCCCACAAAAAUCAAAUGGUAUUUCUUGGCUUAAUACUUUGCAAAGUGUUAUUUCGUGGAUUACAUUCGGUAUAUGUUAAAUUUGGCUGUGUAAUGCAUUUGGUGGAUCAUUAACAAAAGCCUUCAUGUUAUAAAAUUAGCAAGUUAACUUUGAUGAUGCUGAGCUAAUUUGUUCUGCUGAUUAUACAUAGGUAUGCAUACUCAGAGAAGCUAGGAGAAGAUUCUGAUGAUGAAGAAUCUCAGUCUCUAACUGCGGGCAAGCCAGAGGGUGAUAUCAGUUUAGUCAAUCAAGAAGUGAAGGAUGUUGGAAGCACGGGAGAUUCUGAUGAAGAGGACACAGAAGAAGAUAAGAGGGAAUGAUCUUUCAAUGGCAUUACUCUUCCAUUGCUCACAACCUUACUCUAUAUACAAGCCCAUGGAGAAUGUAGUUGAAUGUCUACCCCUCGGUUAACUUCUAUGUGCUAAGCAAUGACCCUUUGUCCCACUUAACGGCUUCCAAAGAGGUGUUGUAAAAUUUUUGCUACUUCCUACUAGAAUCAAAAGGCUGCCUUAUUUCUUGUCCUUGUUUGUGAUGCUAAUUUUUUUAUUGUAUGUAAACAUUAGGUUGUCAGCCUCAAUUUCUGAGAGUAGAUGAAUCAUGAAAAAGAAAAGCUGUGUAUUGUAAAGUUCACCAAAUUGUUAUUGUGAUAGAUACUGUACAUUGUCACUUUCAUGAGUAUUUGCUUCUCAUCAUGUUUUUCUUUUUACUCUGUCAUGAUCAUUUCAUUCAUAUUACAACCCGAAAAGGGUUUCCAUCAAAACCGUUUGGUUGGAGAUGAGAAAGAUGAGAUUGUUACAGAAAGGUAAAAACAUGUCAGGCGUUUGAUGAGACUCCUGUGAAUCUGUGAUGAGAUAUGGAAAACAAAAGAACGUUUUCACUUUUGUGGUUUCAUUGUUUGUUAUCCUCAUUGUUUUAUGUUUCAAACCUGCAUAAAAUUUUCUCUACCAGCAUUCCAGCAAUGAGAGUUCUAAAUGAUUUCUUCUAUAAUAUAAAGCAACAUUUGCUCUUAUAAAGUAUAUGUGCUCAUUUGAGUGUUCAAUAUAGAGGAUGGCAUGUGUGCUCUCUACUGUUCGUCUUGGGUGCUACUUUGCACCAUUUACUGUACUUUCUGAACGACGGAAUUUAGUGUCCGAAUCAGUAGAGUACCUUUGGCUGGACGAAGCUAUAGACUCAUCUGUCAUUGUUCUAUCUCUUUGGUUCUUCGUGUACUUGUGUUUCUUCCUUUCCAUAUACUACAAUUUUGACAAUCUUACACAUGUAGGUCUUCAAAGCUACAGAUCGCUCGAAGGAUGAUUAAGACUUGGAUCAUCACUGCUUUCUGGGAUAUAUUCGCAUUUGAUCGCUGCGCUCUAAGGUCAUUGUUCCAACAGCCUUUCUUAUAUGUUAGAAUCUGAUACCUUGAGGUAUGUUCUUCUCUGAAAGCUCUAUUUCUGUUUCUUGGUGCUACCUUAUGUUUUGGCUGGUCGCUUGUCUAUUUUUGUUAGGUAUUAGCAUUGGUUUGUUAGGUAUUAGCUGGUGUUUGAUCACUUUGAUUUGAAUUUGUACGAUGAUUAUGUUACAAGAUGUUUGAGCUUUAUUUUUCAACGAGUGAAUGAUGGCAGAAGCUAAUUCUUGGGAAUAUGGUAAAAUGUGACUAAAAUCUGGUCUGAAUGUUUUCUUGUGAACUUCAUUCUGCAAGCUUAUGAAUGAAUUAAUGUAUAUAUGUGUACCCCGCUACAAAGUCUGAAAGGGAGCCCUGCUACAACAUGCCUUGAACACAUUUAAAACUAUUUCACAAAACCAUAAAUCUAUCAAAAACAGAUUUUCCAACACUAGACAUUUUUCAGUCACCUAUUUCUUUAUCUCUGUUAGCUGCUGCCAUUGAUGAACAUGAUCACAUUCCUAUCAGAAUCGACAUCCAGAAUAACUGAGUCGCCCUCUUUGAUCUCAUUUGCCAGCAUCUUCUCAGCCAUGGUGUCCUCCAAAAGUCUUGUUAUGGCUCUUCUUAAAGGCCUUGCUCCAUAGCUUGGUCGUAUCCUUCGUCAACCACUUUGUCUUUGAACCUUUCUGUCACCCGAAGCUUUAUCUCUUUGGACUUGAGCUUAUCAUGAAACUCCUUCAGCAUUAUAUCUGCAAUUUCCUUUACCUCCAACUUAGUCAGCUGCUGAAAAACAAUUGUUUCAUCCAACCUAUUUAAAAACUCUGGUCGAAAGUGGUGUUUCAAUUUCUCUGUCACCGAGCCCUUAAUUUGUUUGUAAUUGCCAUCCUUGUUCUCAAUGUCACUGCUUCCAACAUUAGACGUCAUAAUGAUUAGUGUAUUCUUGAAAUCUAUAGUUCUGCCCUUGCUGUCAGUCAAUCUUCCAUCCUCAAGUAUUUGAAGCAUCAAGUUGAAAAUGUCAGGAUGAGCCUUCUCAAUCUCGUCAAAAAGCACCAGACUGUAAGGACAUCGACGAACGGCUUCAGUCAGCUGACCGCCUUCGUAGUAACCAAUAUAACCAGGGGGAGCACCAAUGAGCUUGGAAACAGAAAGGUGUUCCAUGAACUCACUCAUAUCAAGCCUCACCAUUGAUUUUUCAGAGCCAUAAUAGCCAGUCGCCAAAGUUUUCGCGAGCUCAGAUUUUCCAACACCAGUCGGACCACAAAAGAUGAAACUGGCAAUUGGCCUAUUAGGAUUCUUCAGUCCAACACGAGCUCGACGAAUAGCUCUGCUAAUAGCCCUGACUGCUUCAUCCUGACCAAUAACCCGCUUAUGGAGCGUCUCUUCCAUCUUGAGGAGGCGAUCGGCUUCAUUUGUUGACACUUUCUCAACCGGAAUACCAGUCCCACGGGACACACAGUGUUGAAUAUCCAAUUCAGUAACAGUACUUCCACCAUUAACAUUAUCCAAUGCCUCACAUAUCUGUGUCUUAAGAUCCAAUUCUGCGUCACGUAAUAGUGAAGCCUGUCCAAGAGUCGGUUCAGUUGACCAAAUUACACAAUGCAUAAUAAUAUUUAGAGAAAAUUAGAUAAAAACCCAAAAUACUAGACCUCUUUUGAGAUAAAUCCAUACAUAUUUUUCUUUUAUUUUACACCCAUUCCACAUAAGCAAACAUACCAUAUAGAGCAAAUGUCUAUAAUUAAUAGUUUUAUUCAUUUUUCGGUUUCUCUAAUUUGCCCUUCAGACAGUAGAAAGCUAAAUUUGGUAUAUUUCUCAAUUUUAGCAUCAAUUUGAAACUCACAUACUAGCUAAAAUUUAGUUGGAUUUAACUUUGUCAUAAUCAAUUACAUUCUUUAAUUUCUUACCUUGUUAUUAUUAACUUGAGUUUAUAUAUAGAGAAAAUUAGAUAAAAACCCAAAAUACUAGAUAUAUACAGAAGUAUGUCAUUUGUAAUAGGAUGAUACUUUUCAUUCCUAAGCUCACAUUUGGUGUCUCUCUACAUAGUCGAAAAAUGUCUAAUUGUAAGGUACACGUUCUUGUUCUUUGAUUAAUUUUCUUCUUUUUAGGUAUAUUAUUAUAUCAUUUCCCAUCCUAAUCGAGAGAACAUUUUACUCUCUACUACUUACGUUUCUAAUGUACCUAUUAAGUAGGGCAUGAUAUGAUAAUAUACACUACCAGAAGAAAGACUUUAGCCGACGAAAAUAAAAAAACCAGGCCGACGAAUUAUUUUUUCGUCGGCUGAUUAAAAAUUUUCGUCGGCUAUGGUCAACUUUAGCCAACGAAAUUAAAAUUUCGUCGUCUGAAUAAUUUUUUUCGUCGGCUAUAGUCUGUGAACUUUAGCCGACGAAAUUUUUAAAAGUUUAGCUGACGAAAAAUAUAAUUUCGUCGGCUAAAGUGCCUUAAUUUCGUCGGUUAAAGUGCCUUAUAUUUGCAGAUCUGGACAACAACUCAUCUGGGAAAAAAAACUAUACGUAGAACCUUCAAACGCAAAAAAGUCGUGAAAUAAGAUAUGACCAGAAUGGUGAAAUACGUCCACGGUUAAAAAAUCACGGUAUUCCGGUAAAGUCUCGGUGCCGAUAGUUGCGGUCAAUGCAAUUUACCCUUAUUAUUCAAUAUGCUGCAGAUUUGGUUUUUGGUGUCCGAUUGACUAUUGUGAUACCUUUCCGGAAGCGUAACGGCCCUACGAGUCAAACUCAUCGCUAACGCCAUGAUGUAUGGGCCUUUUUGGCCAUCUGAGUCUGUUUAGGGCUUUAAAAUACAGUUUUCUUAUUUCCGAUUAGAGUUGACCGUUUCGAUCGAGCCCUUAACGUUGUCGAAUCCAGUUGAAUUUUUUACCAUAGACAUCUUUCAUCAUAAUGAUCAUAUCGGACGGUCGAAUUUUGGUUUGUAAAUUUUAGUCAUCGGAAUCACAACGUGUCUACUAUUUACCGUUAUUAUUCCCUAUGUUAAGUAGUACUACUAAUUAAUUCGGGAACGGGUUCCGAAAUUUUUUUGGGUUUUUGUUAAAGUUUUAAGUUUUACCUAGUACGGGAAACUUCGACCCAAAACGGGUCGUACCUAACCUAAGGGGUUUAACCGUUAAGGUUAUUCCCUAUGAGAAGCCUUAUCGUCGGAAGGUAAAUGUCUCAAAAUUUUUAUAUGGGCAGUUGCGUCUCAUCUACGUGAGAGUUUUUUGUGUGGAAGGUUUGACCAAACCACGUAAUAUAGAGGGAGAUAUGAGCGUUUUCGUGUGAUAAGUGACGAUGGAUUAGGGUUACCCGUUUCGAUCGAGUCCUUAACGUUGUCGGAUCCAGUUGAAUUUUUUACCAUAGACAUCUUUCGUCAUAAUGAUCAUAUAUGACGGUCCAAUUUUGGUUUGUGAAUUUUAGUCAUCGGAAUCACAACGUGUCUACUAAUGUUGUAUAAUUUGUUUAGUAGGUUAUACAACUUUGUGAACCAACUCUAUAUAGGAAGCAAAAUUAUCAAAAAUCUCGUGAAAUAAGAUGUGUUCAGAAUGGUGAAAUACGGCUAUGGUUCAAAAAUCACGUAAAUCGGGUAAAGUCUCGGUGCCGAUAGUAGCGGUCAACCCUAUUUACCGUUAUUAUUCCCUAUGGGGAGCCCUAUCGUCGGAAGCAAAUGUCUCAAAAUUUUUAUAUAGGCGGUUACGUCUCAUCUACGUGAAAGUUUUUCGUGUGGAAGGUUUGACCAACACGUAAUAUAGAGGGAGAUAUGAGCGUUUUCGUGAAUUUAUAGACUUUAGCCGACGAGAUAUUAAAAAAGUCGUCGGCUAAGGUCAAAAAUUUUUAGGCGGUAAACCAAAUUUGGAGGAAAAUUUUCAAAGGACUUUAGCCGACGAAAAUAUAUGAAAAGUCGUCGGCUAAAGUCGAAAAUUUUCAAAAUUUUCAACCAAAAUUUUUUUGCGGUCAACCAAAAUUUUCAAAAGAGUUUAGCCGACGAAAAUAAAGAAUUUCGUCGGCUAAAGUUCUUUAUAUUACCGAAGGUGGAUGGUAAGAAGUCUAUUUCGCCUGCCAGAUUUUCUUUUCGGCCUAGCUCCGCCGUCAAGCCACCGGAGACCGCCACACUUGUCCCAAAAGCUUCGCCGUCGUCUCUGCUUCAUUGCUGGAUAGGUGGUGCAUCGAGUGGCACCGCCGUGAGAGAUAAAUCGAGCUCCAAAACUCCGCCGGUUUGGAUUCGAUGUCGAUCGAAUUUCUCCUUCCUCAGUUCACCAUUUGGUGAGUUCUAUAUAUGGAUAAGUUGAGUUUGAUUAGUACUACAUUCCCUUAGAAUUUGGUAACUCGAUUCGGUGUGUGUGAGGAGAAUCGAAGAUUUGAAGUUUUUAGGGUUUAAAAUUAGGGAUUUUUAUAUAUUGAUUCAAUUGACCUAUUUAGGCUUAGAAUUGGGCUUCGAUUUCUUCUAGGAAGUUGUUCGAAAUGUUGAGAAGAAGAUUCUGUCAAAUUUUGGUGGUGAUUGGAGGUGGCCGAAAGCAUCUGCAGUUUUUUUUUUAAAAAACCAGCAACUUUAGCCGACGAUAUUUAAAGGUUUAGCCGACGAUAUUUAAAGGUUUAUUCGUCGGCUAUAGUAUUUUUAAAUUUUUUAUAAGGUUUUAGCCGACGAAUUAUGGCAUAUUUUCGUCGGCUAUAGUUAUUUUUUAAAUUUUUUUAUAAGGUUUAGCCGACGAAUUAUGGCAUAUUUCGUCGGCUUAUAGUUUAUUUUUUAAAAUUUUUUUAUAAGGUUUAGCCGACGAAACAGACUAUAUUUCGUCGGCUAUAGUUAUUUUUUUAAAUUUUUUUAUAAGGUUUAGCCGACGAAACAUACUAUAUUUCGUCGGCUAUAGUCUGGAAAAAAUUUUUUUAUUACAGACUUUAGCCGACGAAUAUCUUAAUUGUUUCGUCGACUAAAGUUUGGGAAAAAAACCGACGACAUGUUUUUCGUCGGCUAAACUGCGGGACUAUAGCCGACGAAAUUUUUUUUUUCGUCGGCUAAAGUCAUCACAGACGACCUUUUCCCGACGAAAUCUUAGCCGACGAUGGCUCGUCGGCUAAGAUCUUAGCCGACGAAUUAAGCUAACAGACCGACGAAAAUUUUUCGUCGGCUAAAGUGCUUGUUCUGGUAGUGAUACCUAAAAAGAAGAAACCCAAAAUUGGGUUUAGGGUAUAGCAGGUUCAGGGUAUAGGGUAUAGGGUUUAGGGUAUAAGGUUUAGGGUUUAGGGUAUAGGGUAUAGGGUAUAGGGUUUAGGGUUUAGGGUGUAGGGUGUAGGGUAUAGGGUUUAGGGUGUAGGAUUUAGCAUUUAGGGUUUAGGGUUUAGGGUUUAGAUUAGAUAGGGUUUAGGGUUUAUGGUUUAGGGUUUAGGGUGUAGGGUGUAGGGUAUAGGGUGUUUAGGGUUUAGAUUAGAUAUCUUAUUUAUAUUAUAUUUUACCUUAUGUGAUUGGAGAAUGAAUUGUUUUAAUCUAGAUUUUUUCAUAAAAAUAAAGAAAACUACAUGACUCUUGCAAAUUGAUUGAAAAAUGUUAGUGUUAGAAGAAAAACUCAUAAUCAAGGUAUUUAAGACAACAUCAAUUAAGAUUAUUUAUUAUAUUAAUAUGUUAUAGUUGAAUGGUGGCAAUUGUGUAAAAUUUAGAAAAAAUAGGACAUAAUAUUUAUCAUAAUUGAUACAUUUUAGAUGUCUAUCACAUAAGAAUAUUAAGUGAGUUUUAUUUAAAACCACUCUUCAAAAUUGGGUGUAUAUGAAAAUUCCCCUAAUAUUUACCGCAACUAAUUUAGUAUCAACAUCUAUUGAUAUUCACUGCAAAACGCAUAGUUAUCAUUCAGAAUUCCAGCAACAAAAUUAUAGAAACUUUGUACCUUCUCAAACUCUUGUCCAUGAAUAGCUUCAUUCUUCAGUUUUGUUAUCUGCCUCAGAAUAUUGUCAAGCUCUUGAGCUUCUUUAGGAAGCUGCAAAUAAGAACCACCGCAACUAACUAAAAACAUCCCAAUGUUUUUAAAAGGACCCUGAACCAGAAAGUGAGGUUUUAUACCUGUGCAGGACGAUGCAGUCUUAAUGCAGAACCAGCAUCAUCGAUGAAGUCAAUUGCUUUAUCAGGAAGAAACCGAUCGCUGAAAUACACACAAUUAUGAUACAUAACAGAAAAAUGUAGAUUUAUAUUCACAGGGGAAAGAGAGAUAUAUCUUGCACAACUAAUGAUCAUGCUUGUGCUGAACUAUUCAUCUGACAGAUUAUAGACUCUAAAAGGGCUACCUACCUGAUGUAUCGGUGAGAUAGCUGCGCUGCUGCUUUCAGGGCUUCAUCUGUAUACUGGACUUGAUGGUGGAUCUCAUAUCGUUGUCGAAGCCCUCUCAAAAUGUGUAUGGUUUCAUCCACAGUUGGUUCAGGAAUUUGGACCGGUUGGAAUCUUCUUUCAAAUGCUGGGUCCUUUUCAAUAUACUUUCUGUAUUCAUCUAGCGUUGUGGCUCCAAUGCACUGCAGUUCACCUCUUGCAAGAGCCGGCUUCAAUAAAUUUGCACCAUCAAUUCCUCCCCCCUCUUCUGAUGAUCGGUUUCCUGUUUGCAUUAAAUUGUGCAUCUCAUCGAUAAACAGAAUAACUUGACCAUCACUUUGUUUGAUUUCCUCCAUUAGGAGCUUCAUUUUUUCCUCAAACUCUCAACGGUACUUGGUACCAGACACAAGAAGACCCACAUCAAGACUUACAACCUUCUUGUUGGCUAGUGAAUGUGGAACGUCGCCACUUGCAAUACGUUGAGCAAGCCCUUCUGCUAUUGCAGUCUUCCCAACACCAGGUUCUCCAAUCAGGCAGACAUUUUUCUUGGUCAGCCUAUUCAAUAUUUGGAUGACAAGUGAUAUUUGUUCUUCUCUUCCAAUAACAGGAUGCAACUUUCCCUCUGCUGCUUGCUUGGUUAAAUUAGUCCCACACUCCUCUAGAGUUGGCGUUGUAAUCUCAUCAUCAUGCCCUCUUCCAGUACUUGUAUACCCAUUUCGAAUAAUAUAACUUUUAUCACCCUCCCAUCUUCCAGUACUUGUAUUUUGAGUCUCGGAACUCCAAGGGAAAGAGGCUGUGAACUGCUCAAACAUGGACUUAGGUGCAGCUCUUCCACUUAUCCUAGCCUUCCGACUUUUGGAACCCGAAGGGAUUGAGUUGUCCUCGUUAGGCCUGGCCACCAUAUCUAGGGCAUCAAACCUACCGAGUCCGCAGAAACUAGAAACACUACUAGUGCUACUAGUACUACUCUUGCACCUCAUGCUCAAAGCACGAGCGGAUUUAGGACGCAUCAUCUUCACGCUACUAGGUUGGCCACCCCUAACUAGCCCUCCAACCCCACCAGUAUUUGUUAAAGGCAAGGUCAAAGCGACCGCAGCCAUGACAGCUAGCCCACCAACUACACCGGUACUAAUAGAAGGCAGACUACUUAAACCAGCAACCACACCGGUACUUGUAGAAGGCAGACUACUCAAACCAGCAACCACACCAGUAUUUGUUGAAGUACUCAAACCUGUAACCACACCAGUAUACGUUGAAGGCAGAGUCAAAACGGCUGGAGCCAUGAUCAACCGACGACGACGAUGAUUAUACGGAGGCUGAGAUUGAAAGCAAUUAAGGAUCAAGGAUCUUUCUUUGGAGACAAUACUCCGACUCUCUGAACUCUGCAGUUUCUUGGGAACGAAACCAGAACCAGGGUCAGUGCUUAGGGAUUGUGAAGCAUCGUACAAUACGAGACUUCAUCACAAUAUCAUAUAGAGGAAAAAUAAUUAAGGAUUAAUUACAAUGCGAAUAAGGUAUUUUGAUUAUACUCUUUGCAAUUCUGGAGAGAGAUUUUCUGUGAACUUUGAACAAUUUACUUGCACCUCAAGUAAGGUGUGCCUUGUGGAGGAGUUGAAUCCGUCAUCUACUGGGAAAUCCUCAUACAAAGGUUUUCGGAUAAUCAUUAAUCAACUCCCUGUAUAAGGAUUUCAAUACCUGAUUGGGACUCCUUUUCUGCUAUUCUGUUGCCCAGCUAAUUAAGAAAAUCUGUUUAUAGAUCUUUAGACAUCAAGAUUUAUUUUCGUGUGGCCUAGUUAUUAUGCAUCUCAGUGCAUAACUGGUAGACCUUGUUGUUGGCUCAUAUGAUAAUUGUGCUUUAUAACUGGUAGACUUUUGUGGUUUGUAGUAAAACUUCAAGGUAUGGAUACCCUUGUUCAUUCUAGGCCAUGGCUGCCUAAUUUCCGUAACUGAUGCCUCGGAUUCAAGUAUGGACCUCGAGUAAUAUAAAUAAGAGUACAGACCCUAUAUAUACUAGUUUUAGUCAUUCAUACUCCAGAAUUGUCUACAACAUACAAACUCACAUAUACUCAUAAAAUUUGCUAGUUGGUUUCAGUGGCGGAUCCAGGAAUGAAAAGUUACCUAGGCUAAUUUUCUAUGUGCACAAUUUUUUUUUUUAAGGUUUAGAACCCAGUGGGAGGCUCAUCCUCACGCCUUUAUAAUUUUCAACCANNNNNNNNNNNNNNNNNNNNNNNNNNNNNNNNNNNNNNNNNNNNNNNNNNUAUAUAUAUAUAUAUAUAUAUAUAUAUAUAUAUACACGAAAAACGNUAGAGAGCGCACGUGCGCACUCUCCUUAAAGUGCGCAUGUUGCUCCGUUCGUCACCGUCCGGCGCGCCUCCUCCUCAAAAGACUCCAGCAGCGUCCCCGACCACUUUCCCUCUCCAGCGAGUCCGUUCUUUUCCAGUUUUUCAGCGAGAUUACCUAAAACUUCAAAUAAAGUCGAUCUCACCGGAAACUGGAAUUCGGCGGACUGGCCGGGGAGGAAAAGUGAUCGGGGACGCUGCUAGAGUCCCCUGGAUGGAGACGCGCCGUCAUCAAAGCCGUACGGUGGCGAACGGAGGGGCGUGCGCACUGACUUAAAGUGCGGACGCCGGCUCAAAUCAACUCCGGCAACUACAUAUGGCAGCUCUUCUUCCUCCUUAAACGCCAUUGGCGUCCUGGUUGCCAUUACCAUCAAGUUAAAUGCCAAGGUGAUCGUAGAAGAAGGUCCGGCACCGGAAAAACUACAGAAACUUAAAGAAGCUCAAUCCCGGAUUCAAAACUCAUCACCGGCGAGUCUGUCGGUGAGAAGAAGCUCCAAAUGGAGCUCUUGUUUGGAACCAGCAAGAACAACGAAGCAAUCGGUGUCGCCGGAGUUGAUUUGAGCCAGCGUCCACAUUUUAACACAAUUGCGGACGUCUGUUUCAUAUUAUUUCCGUGUUUGUGUCUAUAUAUAUAUAUAUAUACAUGAAUUCUCAUGUGCGGACGUCCGCACCAAAGUUUUGGUUCGGAUUUCCAUUUUUGCACCAGUUCCCGAUCGAAUUUCCUCAAACUUCCUUCUAGACAUAUCUAGAUCAUCUCUGUAAAAUUUCAGUCAAUUUGGUGAUCGUUAAGGCCCUCAAAAUCGCAAAACAAAUCUGACGGAUUGAAUUCUGUCCGGUUCAGGUAUAUAACAGAAAAACGCAAGUUUUAUGGCUUUAACUAUCACCAAAUUGGCUGAAAUUUUGCAGAGAUGAUCUACACAAGAUGAUCUAAAUAUGUCUAGAAGGAAGUUUG